CUUCCUUGAUCUAUAACAACAAAUUUAAUUUAUUUAUUCAUCAUGUUACUCAAAUUAGCCCAAUUUCACAUUUUUGGUAAAAUUUUAUUUUUACCCCUAAACUUUGUCAUAAUUACACUUUUGCCUCUGGGAUCGUAAAAUGAAAUUCAUUCAAUUUAUUUGCUACCCAUGCCUAAUCGAAUAUUUAUCAUACUUACAUCAGCCAACAUUUUUCACAUAAUCACACUUUUACACACAAUUUAUCACAUUUCUCAAUUUAGUCCCUAAUCGACAUUUCUAUCAAAAAUCACUUUACAAAUGUUGUUUAUCUAACAACAAGGAUGUAUUUUCUAUCAUCAAUUAUCAAAAUGCACAAUUUAUCAACAAUGGCAAAAUUCAAAAACUUUAACAAUUUUUAAAAUGAAGGUACGGGAUAGCUAAAUCGAGUUACCACAACUCUGAAAACAUAGAAAUCAUUAAAAACGGGACGAAAAUCACUCACCUAUCAAGAUCCAAAUCUUGGCCAAAUGAAACCCAUCCCAUGGCUGCCAUUUUCUUUUCUAUUACGGUUGAAGAAGAAAAAUAAAGAUGAUAGCUUUUGCUAUUUUGUCUUAUUAUACUUAUUAACUUAUUUACCAAUUUAACCUUUUAAUAACUUCACCAAAUCCACCUAUUACAUGUCCAUCUUUGUCUCUUCACUUUUCUAUUGGUAUAAUUACCACGUAAGUGCCCAGACUUUUCAAUUCUAUAGCUAUUUAGUGCAUUUAUCAAUUAGAUCUCAAGUUUUGCACCUUACGCGAUUUAGUUUUUUUUUAUUAAAUUGAGCACUCAAACGAGGAAAUUUCUUUAUGAAAAUUUCACAAAACUUUAGUAUCAUACUGUAGACAUCAAAAUGAUAAUAAAAUAAAUUUUUUGAUAUCGUAUUUUUGGUCUCGCAACCACUAUUCAGACUAGGCCCAAAAUCAGGAUGUUACAUGGAAUAUGAUCAAAAGGUUUAAAUGAUUUUUGUUAGCAUGAUGAAGUUGUGAAUGUGUGUUUAUUAGCAUCUUAAAUUAUUGAUUCAAGUUGUUAUAAUAUGGUCUAUUACUUAAUGGUUGUAUAUUAUGAAAUUGAUUUAGUUAGCAUCACUAAGAUUAUAAAAGCUCAAUUUGCGGAUGUUUAUUCUGUGUGCAUGUAGCAAGUAUACUGUGAUUGAUUUAGACGUUAUUCAGAAUCUGAGAAUCAAGUUUCAACUUAUCUCCUAAGUUUUGUAAUUUUCCUUUUUAAACUUUUAGUCUUUGGCAUGUACCCAGGUCACUAGGUGGAUUUUCAUGUCUCUAAAUUGGUCCUUAGUUGUCUUGAGAUGAUUUGAUAUAUUUGGUACGUUUUGAUAAUGUUUCGGGACUUUUGAUCAUCUCUAUGUUGGAUUUUUAAUGUGAUUUUUCAUGUUAUAUUAAUUGUAACAGCUCGUUUUCAGUGAAAUUGGAAUAGUGGUUUCGGGACCACAAAUUUUUAGUCGAAAGAAAAAUUAUUUUAAAAUUUUUGCAUGGUCUGCAUUAUGAUAGGAAUAACGUAUGAAAAUUUUAUUAGGAAAAAUUUUACCGAUUUCUUGUUUAAUUGAUAAAAUGAACAAAUUGCAUAAAAUACAAAAAUUGAGUUCUAGUAGCUAUAGCUGGAAAAUAGCUAUGGAAUUUAAAAUUUGAGGUCCUUAUAUGGCAAUUAGACCAUUAAAUGGAGUUAGUAGAUAUUUAUGAUGAUUCAUCCAUGGAAAUUUAAGAAAAGAAAAGGACUAAAUUGGAAAGAUGAAAUAAUAAAAGAUGAUAUCUUAAUUAAAUAGAAAAUAUCAUCAUUUUAUAUCAUCUUCCCUAAAUAUUUCUAUGAAAACCUUAGCUAAGAAAGAGAAAUUCAAGCAAGCUUAAUUGGAUCCGAAAAGACCAAAUAAGGAAUUAGAUUGAGGAAAAGAAAAAAGUGUUAGAUUAGUAGAUUUUCAUACGCGAGCAAGUGUUGAGGUAAGUUCGUGUAACUAAAUUGUGUAUACUUUCAUAUUUGAAUUGAAUAUUAUAUGUAAAUUAUGAAUUUGUUAUGUAUAUGAAAAUAUUUAUAUCUGACAUGCCCAAAAAAUGUUAAGUUCCGUUUGAAUAAAUGAAAUUUGAUGGAUACAAGUUUCCUGAUUGGUUGUGAUCUAGCAUAUGUUGCAGGCACACCAUAGCCCAAAAGAGCAUCUCGAUAUUUGGCCCUCACGAGCUUCUCGUUAUAUGGUUCAGUAAGCUUCCCGUUAAUAGCUCUUCGAAGCAUCCCGAUUGGUUGUGAUACUGCAUGUGUUGUAGACACACCAUAGCUCUUAUGAGCGUCCAGAUAUAUGACUCUUUGUGAGCUUCCUGAUUAAAGGCUCUUUGUGAGCUUCCUGUUAAUGGCUCUCCGGUGCUUCCUAAUAUUAGCUUGCUUGAAUUUCCUGAUAUAUGACUAUCUGGAGCUUCCCGAUUAAUGGCUUUUCGGAGUUACCUGUUAUAGGCUUACAUGAGCUUCCUGAUUAUGGCUCUUAUGAGCUUCCCGUUAUACAGCCCGGAUAAGCUUCCCGUUAUAUGGCUCGAGAGAGUGCUUCCUGUUUAAGUAUUCUCAUAAACACUCUUUAAUAUGAAUUGAUGGAUUAUAGAUUCAUACACUUUAUGUAUACUACCCGAUGUCCAUCGAUAUUUCAUAAGGUUCAACAGGCAAAGUUUUGAUACAAGUUAAAAUAAGGUUUGAAUAAAUCAAUAAUUGUAUCUACCUGAAAAUACAUGGAAAUGUUUAUACAAUGAGCUUAUCUUUAUUACUUGAAAAGUACUUGGAAUUCAUGACUAACUUGCUUGAUUGAGUGUAUGUGUUUAGGCAAUUGGCCAAUUUGCUUUGGAUGCAUGUUAUUUGUAUGCGUGCUUUAAAUGAACAUGAUUGGUAAGUUAAAUCCAUGUUAUACGAACUUACUAAGCAUUAAAUGCUUACUUGGUUUUCUUUUCUUUGUUUUAUAGUACUCGGAAGCUUGGGAAGGUUAGAACUUGGUCAGAGACACAUCACACUAUCUCUCGGACUUCUCGAUAUAUGAAACAAGCUAACUUUUGGUAUAAUGGCAUGUAUAGGCUAAAAUAGGUCAAAUGAUGAAAUACUUUGGUUGUAGCUAGCCAUUGGAAUGGCUAGUGUUAAACAUAUUAUGAUGUAAUUAUAUAAGGCCUUAUUAAGUUUGAUGUGUGUUGAAAUGGUUAUAUGGUGAAAAGUAUAUAAACCUAUUGAUGAAUGGUUUAAAAUUAGCAUAAUUGAUCAAGUAUACCUAUAAGAAUAAAUGGGUUUUAGGUAAGUUUGAAUAUAUAUGAACAUAUGUGAUGAUAUGUCAUGUAUAAUACUUGUAUUUGACUCGGUUUAAAUGUCUUGAAUUGGUUGGUGAAUGCACAUAAAUGUUGUUGUAAAUGGAAGGCAAAAUUGGUGAGAAAUAUGGCCUCGAAAAUGGCCUAUUUUCGUCCACAUGGGCAGAGACUCAUGCAUGUGUCUCAGCUGUGUGUAACACACGGUCAUGCGCACGAGCGUGUGGUUUGGUCGUGUGUCCCCUACACCUAAUUUUUGAAAAUUAAACUAUCCACAUGGCCUAGCACAUGCGCGUAUGUAUAGCCGUGUAACCCAAGUCAGAGAGUUACACUGGUAUAGAGACGGGACGAAAUACGGCCGUAUGCCUCACAUCGAAUGCCCACACGGCCUGAGACAUGGGGGUGUCACUUGGUCGUGUGAGCCACACGGCCUAACCACACAGGCGUGUGUCCCUUGCACUAAGGAAAAAUUUUGAAAUUUUGCGAAAAAUUUUCUGAGUUUUUGAAUUAGUCUCAACUUGUUUCUAAUGCAUAAAUUGGGCCUCGAGGGUCCAUUUAAGGGACAAUACGUUUGAAUAUGAUUGGUUUCAUAUAUGAAUAGUAAAUGACCUAAAUUAAAUGUAUCUAUUAUGUAAACUUCGGUAAUGCUCGCCGGAAAUAGGUUAGGGGUGUUACAUUAUAUUGUUACAUUUCACAUUUUGCUUACCUAGUAAUUUCUUGAUCUAAUGUGUUAAUGGCCUUGAAAUUCCAUGUUUUGGGCUUAUAUUGCUAUGACAAAUAUGUUUGCAUGAGUUGGUUGCAUGUUGGCAUUGUUUAGAGACAUUUAGGAACAAGUUUACAAGACUUGAAAUGUUUAUUUUUUUGCAAUUUUGGGCAUGAUGUCUUGAUACUUGAAGAACAUUAUCUUAUGAUUCAUGCAUUUUUAGGUGCAAGUCUUUAGACAUGAAACUUUGAAGCUAAAUAGGGAAGACAUGGCUUCACAAUCUCGAGACAUAGCCCUACAUUUUGCUUAUUUGACUCAAGAUUCGUAACCUAGCUCCAUAUUUGACUAUCUUUGGCACCAGUUUGUUGUAUGUGGACUCGUUUAAUUUCAAUUGAGUUCAUUUAAUACUUGUAACAACUUUUAAUUUAAACACCUCAUUUAUUUUGAUUAUUUGAAGCAAAAUUUACAUGCUUGUGUUUGGCUUUGAGUUAGUUCAAUAACAUAUGUUGCGUCUUGGAUCAGAUUGACUUUCAGAUUGGGUGUAGGUAUUACAAAAUCAGCCCCAACUAUAACUCCUUAUUUGGCAUGGCCUUUCUUACGGAAACUAUUUCUCUUAUGCACUUUUCGGCUUUGAAGUUUGACUCCAAACCUAAACGAACAAACUCAUCCUUUAUGUCAUUGCUAUGGUCAUUCUACUCUUCAUCAGAAGUGCCAUUAUCUAGAGCCAUAAGAAAAAAACUAUUGAAAAAAUGGUUUAAAAAACAUGUUUGUUUGCACAGUGGAAAUUUAUUUUUUUAAAACUCGGGUCAUUGUGUUAUUUAUAGUAAUAAAAUUUACUAGAUUAGUACUUGUGUUUUCAGCUUAGCAAUUUUGGUUGUUUCUCAACUUUUUACCAACAUAAUCUUCUGCACUAUUCUCAAACCCUCAAUGUGCUUAGAGAGUGAGUUCUAAUUGAACCAAUAACACAAUAAAAAACCUUUAAUUUUUUAGUGAGGGAAAAUCAAAUCUCUCUAUGGGUAACAAACUUAACUAAAGUUUUCAUGAAAACAGAAAACACAAAGUUCCAUCAUAUGUUAAAUGGGCUUAUUGGACUCAUUCAUGUAUUGGGUUCAAUUAUAUCUAUUAUCUUAUCUUUAAAUUAACUCAUAUAAUUUAUCCAAUCCAAUAACCAAUUUUCUAUUCCCAAAAUAUUAUUUAUUUAAUAAUUUAAAUAAAUUUAAUUAAUUUACUCAAUUAAGUUAUUUUCUCAACACAAUUUUAAUUCUGUUAGUUAUGACGACUUUAUCAUACUAAAAUCUAUGAGUACAUAAAUUUAAUUGUCUCCUUCCAUAAAAUUACAAUGACUAAUAAUUUAAUUUUUACUUUGAAUUUCAAUUAUUUAAUUACAAUCAAUUAAAUAAUAAUUCAAAGAAAUUAAAUUAAUCAUUAAGUCAUCUCUUGUCCUUAGUGAGAAAAUGCAACCACUACGAAGAAUGACACAUGCAAUCUAUUUCUCUGUUCGUCACUUCCAUUAAUUCAACGUAUUGGUUCAAAUGCAAUCCAUAAAGGAUUGUUGAACUAGCGAAGGGACUGAUUUAACAUAUAUAAUUAGGGCUAAAUUAAUUUAUAAUUAAUUUUCAAUUCUUCAUUUAUUAAUUAUAUUGUUAUUUAGUCAUGGAGUCGAUCUACUAAAAGCACCAUGAUUGAACUCUCUCUUUUAUAUACCAUUACAAAAAUAAUUUAUAAUUAUACUUGUCCAAUAACCUUUUCAUUAGUGUGUUACCCUCAUAAGAUAUCUCUUAUUCUUUGGGUUAAAUUCGUUCUCUCAGUAUGAUACUAUUUUAUUUCAUGGUAAUCAUUGUAUCUUCCUUAUGAAAAAGUAUAUUACUAACAUAUAGUAAUAAAAUCAUUCGUCCCAAACAAUGACCUGUGACCACGUUUCUUUUUCAUCAAUUAUGCAAUGUCAAUGAGAGGAUAUAAUUUACCCUUUAUUGGGCUAUGAAUUCUAUUAUUGUAAGUAAAGUUGUGCCAUGUAUAAGUUGUAUGCCCAACAUAUUAGCUUUUUACUCUAUUACCAAUAGAUCUCGGGCUUUUAAUAUAUUAAAACAUAUGUAAAUGAUUGAGGUAAGUCACACCAUGAAAUUCAUAAACGAAAAAAAUCCAUAAAAGAAUCUAGGAUAAAUUCAGCUUGAGUCAUGUUCGAUAUAUAGUCAGUCCAAACAAUUACACUUAUAACUCUAUCUUUUUGGGAGCCAUCCACUUCGAUACCGAAGAAAAUGUAUCUCACAAAUUGGAUUUGAUAGACAACAUAAUGGUCCAUUGAAUCAAUUUGCUCCAUUUUAAUUCUUCAGACUACGAAUCAUUUAAAUUACCUACUAAUAUAAGUUGUCUUCCCAAAUCAUGAUCCGACCACAUUAUGCAACUUAAUAUUAGUUAAUCAUUAGGUAAUCAAUGAAUCGAUAUUUGCUUAUAAAUUUUAUUUUUCAUGUAAAAAACAUUAAGCACAAAUAUAAAAGAUAAUAAUAUAAACAGUAGAAAUUUCUAAGCAUAAAUCUUAAAAAGUGAAAAUAAAUCUUUUGAAUUCUUUUUAGAGUAAAACAUACAAAAAAAAAAAAAAAAACUAGUUACACAUUAAUUCUCUAGCAAUACUAUCACUUGCUUGAAAUCACUUCAAAAUUUUCAAGUGAAAUGGGAGUCUUUACAGGAAAAGGAAAACAUCUACUAAUUAAAGUGAGUUUGGACUAAUUAAAAUUUAGUAAUCAUUUUAAUUAAUGGGUCGUGUAAUUUAAUUAUUAAUUUAUUUGAUUUUUUUAUAAAAUUAUUCGAUUUGUAUUCUAUCGGGGUCAAUAAAAAUAUUUUAAUUAAGAUAGAUUCGAUUUAAAUAAUUAUUUGCGUAAUAAAAUUAAAGCAUAAAAUUUGGUAGUUUUUAUUGGAAUUCAAUUAAUUGUCUACAUAUACUAUGUAUUAAGUACAUAAGUAUCACAAAUCAAUUAAGCAUCAACUUAGUUAAGUAAUAAUCAACAUAUCUUUACUUUAUAUAGUAAAUUUUAUUAUUUUAAUAGUGUAUUUUUGUCAUUUUAUCUAUACUAUAUAUUAAAUACUUAAUGCUACAAAUUAACCGAGCACCAACUCAAUUGGAUAAUUACGAAUAUACCUUACUUUUACAAGUAAUUUGUUUUUAAUUAUGGGUUAUUUUUGUCAUUUUAUAUCUUUUAUAUAUAAAAAAUAUAUACUCAAUAUAAUAGAAUUUGAACUCAAACCUCUAUAGUUUUUAACAUUUGUACUUUAUCAAUCAAUCAAAACCUCAUAUAUUGUUUAUAUUAAUUUUUUUUAUAAAUAUAUCUUUUACGUAAUUCUACUACUUUCCACCCGUGUGUCAUAAUCUAACACUUGAUUUGGUCUUUAUUCUUUUAUUCAUGGUUUGGUGUUUUCAUUACCUUAAAUCUAUUUAUUUUCUCCUUCCCCUGUUUUAAUCAUUGUUUUCUAAAUCGGACUGCCCGAUGCAUCGAUCCAGAAUAAAUAAUAGAAUCAAUUGACUCGUGAACUUAUUGAACUGGGCUAAAUGAACCAAUUUUUUUUUACUAUUUUUAAUUUAUACAAUCAACCCUAUUUAUGAUAGUCUCAUUUGUUUGCCCAGGUUUUACCUAUCAUAAAGAGGUAGUUGUUAUAAACCUAUAACAACAUGUUGUUAUAGAAAGAUAAUUGUUGUAAACUUACUAUAUAAUUCGUAUCGUGAAUUUUCAUCAAAUAAAGAAUGUGCGAAUUAUGUUCAAAAGAAGAAAGAAAGUUAGAAUUAAAUUAACAAAGUUAAAAGACGUAUAAUAGGUUUAUUUUACAUGAUUAAUUAUAAAGUCACAAAUAUAAAAAGUUUAAUUAAUCAAUAUGAAUUAUCAAAAUGAGUUACUAAGUUCAAGUAAUCGAUUUAUAAACUUAUGGUUUUCCAAAUUCAUAAUAGAAUAUUUAAUUAGAGGACUUAAUAGUUUGCUGAAUUGAUAUCUUUAAUUCCACCCAUUUAAAAUUAUUUACAUUUAAUAAAAUAUGAUUAAUAGGUUUAAGCAUUUUAUUGAAAUAAUAUUUUAAUUAAGAUAAUUUUCAUUUAAUAAAUUAUAAUUAAUAGCCUUGCUUAGAUGAAAUAACCGUAAUUUUAGUUAAAAAUUUAGACAAUAUAAUGUUAUAAAGAAUUAAUUUAAUAAAAAAUAUACUUCAUAAUUAUAAAUGUUCCUCUUGUAAUAGGGUUAAAAUAAAAUAUAAAAAAUCAAUUCUACUGGAAGCUUGAUUAUUAUAACGAAAUAUUGUUAUAAAGGAAGUUAAAUUUAUUUUAAUUUUUAGGGUAAAUUACACCAACAGUUACUCAACUUCGGGGUAACUGACAAAACAGUCACUUUGGUUUCAAUUUAGUCACUCAACUUUCAAAAAAUAAAAAAAACAGUCACUAAUGUUACCGAAAAGUGACAAAUCAAUCACCAACUAAUAGUUUCUGUUACAGACCUAAUAGGAUAGGUGAUGUAGCCAGUUAACUAGCUGACGUGGUUAGUUAACUGGCCACGUUGGAUGUCCAUAGUGGAAACCGACCCAAUUUAAGAAGAAAUUGAAAAAAAAAACCCUAAUAACAUAAGAGAAGAAAAAGAAGAAGAAGAAAAAGAAAAAGAGAUUGUAAAAUCCCUCUCAAUGUCUCCAACGGCCUCAAUACAAUCGACCCCACAAACAAACCAGCAGAACCGAUAACAAGUACUCCGACCACCACCACUUGCACCACCAUUAAACUAGGUCAGGGUUUUUCUCCCCAAUAUUCUUCUUCUUCUUAUCUUAGUUGUUACUAUUGUGGAUAAAUUUCAACCUCCCCCAACACUUGCAUAGCCAAAUAUAUACUUCAUUAAUUUUUUUCAAGGCUAAACUUUGUCCCAUAGAGGAAUUUCUUCCUAAAAUACUAAAUCAAUAAAUCACCAAAAAAACAACUUUCUCUGCCUAUUUUUGGUCAAUAACAAAAAAACAAAUAUUGAAGGACAAUAAGACGAAUAAAGCAUGAGAAAGAGAGAAUGAUAUGGGUUUUUAGUAUUUUUCCAGUUUCUAAAUCCUAAUUUUGGUUUCAAUUUCUUUUUAUUUUUUCUCCUUUCAAUUCAAAGUGAUUAGAUAGAGGAAGCAAAUAAGGUGAAAAAGAAAAACACUCAACACGGAGAAGAAGGGAAAAAAAAAGAGCUUUCCCACAGUUUUUCUUUUUCAGAUGAGUUUUUUCUUUUUUCGUCGUUUCCAUGUGGGAUGCCAACAUGGCAAGUUAACGGGCCACCAGAAAGCAUUAACGGGUCAUCUCAGCUUUUGGUUACAUCUGUAAUGGUAGCGACUAUUUUGUUAUUUUUUAAAAGUUGAGUGACUGAAUUGAAAUCAAAGUGACUAUUUUAUCAGCUAUUCAAAAGUUGAGUGACUAUUAGUACAAUUUACCCUAAUAAGAAAACCGGCACGUUUUACAUCAACAUUGAACGACAAAACAUGUAUGGUGUCGUUCACUUCACAACAGGCUCUCUAAACAUGCCGAUCGACAAAUCCGACCCGAACCCGAACCAAUCUAAAGCGAGCAAAUUUCGAUGGGGGGAGCUAGAGGAAGACGACAAUCUUGACUUUUUGUUACCGCCCAAGGAAGUGAUCGGAACUGAUGAAAAUGGGAUCAAGAAAGUGAUCGAAUACAAGUUCAACGACGAAGGCAAUAAGGUGAAAAUAACGACGACGACCCGAGUCCGAAAGCUAGCCAAGGCCCGAUUGAAUAGACGGGCUGUGGAGAGAAGGAAUUGGGAGAAAUUCGGUGAUGCCGUGCAUGAAGAUGUGGGGAGUCGCCUCACCAUGGUUUCCACUGAAGAAAUCAUUCUCGAACGACCUAGAGCCCCUGGUUUGAUUCUCGAUUCUCACUCUCUCCCUUUUUCUUUUAUUAUUGUUUUCAUUUCUUCUAGAUUUGAUGAAUGGGAUGGAAAUGGACUGUGUGCAUUCGGAUAUUUGUCGAUAUUUGAUCUGCUUUUUGCGGGGAUUUCGAAUUCAGAUAUUCUGAGUAACAACUGAUAUCUAAAAUUUGUGAUUUCAGAUUUAGAUAUCCUAUUUCUUGCGGUGUCCGAUAAUAUUCGAGUUCAUAUAAUAUUUGAUCAAGGAAUUUUUUAUUUAAUUUUUCUAUGGAAAAUUUUUGAUAGAAUUGGUGUUUGAACAAAUAAUAUUCUUGCAGAAUUAAAAGCUAGAACUUGUGAUUUUAUCGAAUAAUAAAAUGCCUAAGUUUGUGAACAACCUUGGCCUAACUGCAAGCGUAUUGCGUUGUAUGAGAGCUUGGUUUCGAUUAGCCAAUCACAUACCGGCUUGUUAGUGGCCUUUUUUCACAGUGAAAAACAUCUCUAUGUUUCACUUUUGAGCCAUUAGCUACAUUCUUCGGAUGCAUGAUUUUGCAUUCGUAUUUCCGCACUUACCUUACUAGCUGUGGAAACUGAAAUUCCGCUCCUAUUUUUGUUCAAUCACUUGAUUUUUUGUUUUAAAUUUUAAUGCUUGCAUAUUUUGUUUCGGAUUCGUGUUUCAUUCGAACACAAUGGCUAGGUUUUGCCAAUCUCACAUUAGCUGAAUGGCUGUUUGUUUCAUGUGGACUGGCCAUGAGGCCACCAAUAGCAUUGUGUUUUGUUGGCAUUUCAUUGUAAAACUGCAAAGCCGAAUUCUUGGUUUUGUCCCAAGGCCAUAAGCAACAUUCAAGACAUGUGUUUCCCGCACUUCAUGUUUCUAAGUCUAGACAUUGAAGGUUUCUAUCAUGAUGAAGACUAUGUUAGAAUUGCUGGAAGACGCUCAUGGUUAAAUUAGGUUGUAAAUUUCUGGACUUUCGGUUUCUAUCAUUAGUUCAUCUUUUGGAUGUCUAAACUUCUGAAACACAGAGUUAUUAUUAACAGGUAUGAAAGCCGAAGAAAUAAAGGUACCAGGGGACAGCUUGGCUCAGCUAAGCAAAGGAGGUGCUGUUCUCAUGGUGUGCCGCACAUGCGGUAAGAAAGGUGAUCACUGGACUUCCAAAUGUCCAUACAAGGAUCUCGCUGCUCCGGUUGAAACCUUUGUCGAUAAACCUGUGGCAUCUGAGGCCUCUGUGGCUGCUUCUGGAUCUGGAAAGGGAGCUUAUGUUCCACCAAGCAUGAGAGCAGGUGCCGAGAGAACUGCUGGAUCAGAUAUGAGACGUAGGAAUGAUGAAAACUCAGUGAGGGUAACAAACUUAUCUGAGGAUACCCGGGAGCCCGACUUGCUUGAGCUAUUCCGUCCAUUUGGUGCCGUGACUCGCGUGUAUGUUGCUAUGGAUCAGAAGACGGGCACAAGUCGAGGCUUCGGUUUUGUUAACUUUGUAAAUCGAGAGGAUGCGCAAAGAGCUAUUAACAAGCUCAAUGGCUACGGUUACGACAAUCUCAUCCUUCGAGUCGAAUGGGCCACACCAAGAGCAAACUAGAACUCAUUCAGUUGCAAUUCACUCUGUAAGUGCAGAUUUUAACCCUUUUUUCUUUAAAUUAUUUUCCCCGGUUAUUUAUGUAAGUUGAUUUCAUGGUUGGCAUUUGUGUCAAUGUUAUCAUUUUUUUGACUCAAGUGGAAACAGGAGAAAGAAAGUGUUCUUUUGUUUUUCUCAAAUAAUAAAAGAUUAACAAAAUUUUCAAUGUUAGAUUUUGUUGACUGUUUGUAUGCUUGAUUUUCUUUUUCUAAAUUUAUACAUGAUUUAAUGUAGAAAUGUAUAAAAAUACAUAUUUGUACAAAAACUAUAUAAAGAUACAACAUUUUAAAUAGAGAUGGCAAAACUCAAACCACUCAUGGAAUUCAAACCGAUUUGUUCCGAAUGAAAUGAUAUUUUUUUUUAAAUAAAUUUAAAUUUGUUAAAAACUUUUGUAACAAUCUAUUAUAAAUUCCGAAAAUCUGCUCUUUUUAACACAAUACUUAAAACUAUCUAUAGUCCAUUUGCAACCCAUGAAUAAGAAGAUAAUAUGCCUUAACACACUUGAACUAAAAUUCAAUCAGCCAAAUUUGUUACACCUAUGUAUUGCUCAAAUUUAAAUUUCUUCGAUUAGGUUUAAUUAUACUAAUAUAUUAGUCUUAUCUAAUGUUAAUUAUAGAUAAAAAAUACAUUAAACUCACCAACUAGUCAAGCUAAAUAUUAGAAGUACGGACUCCAAGUAUCUUUUAAAAAAGACGGCCAAACUGAAACUAAUAGCUUAUUUAAUUGCCCCAGAAACCAUACAUUUCAGCAUCAAGAAAACAUAGUUCCUUUAUACACAGAACCAAAAAAGGCAUUUCCAGUUCUAACUAAUAUAUUACCCACAUGUAAAUACAUAACAAUCCACUCCAAAUAUUUCAAUGGUAUGCCCCCAGAAACACCCCCAAACACACUUACCGUUGAUUGCCAAUCAACGCCUCCGAACUCGCCUGCCAUUGGGAUUCAUCGGUUCUGCUGCCGGACCUUCUGCUGCAAGAUCCAUCCCGUAUACACUGCUGACACUCCUCUUCCGACUUGAAAGCAGACUCGAGCUCUCCUCGCUGGAUGCAAAGGCCUUCAACAUCUCCGAUAACAAAGAUGGACAACAUUCCUCCAAGUGCUUGAACCCUUCUGAUUGCAUCACCGCUGCAGAAUAACGGAAAUAUACAUUAGCUUAAGCAUUACCAUUGCCAAACAAGAAAAUAUGUUAGUUUGCAAUGUAAUACUAAUUCCAACUUUUCAACAGAACCAGGUUCAUGUGAUAAAAAAUGAUCUAUCACAAUCACUUUCCAUUGUCCUCGGAACAAACACAUUCAGAGCUUGUCAACGAUUGACCGGCCAUGCAUAGAAUUGACUGAAAGAGACAAAUGACUAACUGGUGCAUCCAACCAAAACAAUUUCACUUUACUACGAACAAAUUUUCAGGGAUAAAUUCCAACAUCUGAAGCAUUUAACAGUUUUGAGCACACAACUUGCUAUGCCUAGACCAAUAUCAUGCACUAAUUCGUUUCCCAGCAUUUUGCAGAACAGUUUUAUCUAAAAAUUUCAAGUACCAAACUGCUUGGAGGUUAAGGGAUUAGGUGCAUUAACCUUGAGGAGGGUUUUGUACUUGAAAUACAGGCAUCUAUCGAAGAGUUAGACAUGCAUAGGAAAGCAAACUUCUGAUGCAAACAAUACAAAAACCCAAGUUUACAUAACCUGGAAUUUGCACCGGUAGUAUUUUGAACACACACCUCCCAAGUUUGACGGAGUUGCAGCAAAUUUUAAACAUAUGGCCUUAAGCUGUGCACAAUGGUGCUGCUCAGCAAGUGCAAGGGUUGUUGCCACCGUAUCAGCAUUAAGUUCUUCACACAAUUUCGCCUCACACAACACUUUGAGUCUAUCUAAAUUGUACAGAUCAGCAGCAGCCAAAAGAUGCUGAACCAUGUUGGUAGAUGUACACAUAGAUGUGGAGUCUACAAUUUCUUGUACAUCAGGAAGCUUGUCGGUAUAAAUAAACAAGAGCAUUGCCUGUAAGAACAAGAAGAAGAACAGGUAAGGGUAAUGAUGAAUUCUCAUUUGAGAUGAUCUUCAUUAGCCAAUAAAUGAAAAAGCACAUCAACAUAACUAAAAUCUAUACUUGGAUCUUCACAUCCAGGCAAAUAUAAGAACCACAAUUUGUUGAAUCCUAUUUCUAAUCAAAAGAAUUACGAAGAAUCACAUUAUUUCAAGGGUUUGCUUGUGCAAUAUUCUUAAUUUUAGGUUCAUUCUUCAAAGUCCAAAAGAACCUAAUAGGAAGCAUCACCUUGAAGAUAAAAGACUCAAAAUCUUUCAUUACUUCUUUAUGCAAAUGAAUUCUCAUUUGAGUUAAUCCUUUCAUUAGCCAAUGAAUGAAAAAGCACAUCUAUAUAACUAAAAUCUACACUUGGAUCUUCACAUCCAGGCAAAUAUAAGAACUACAGUUUAUUGAACCCUAUUUCUAUUUCAAUUAAUUGAGAAGAAUCAUAUAUUUAUUGCAAGUUUUUCCUUAUGCAAUAUACUUAAUUGUUGGUUUAUUCUUCAAAGUCCAAAACCAAAAGAAAGUAAAAGGAAGCAUCACCUUGAAGAUAGAAGGCUCAAAAUCUUUUACUACUAUUUUAUCCAAGUUAGGGUCUCCAACGAGCCCGAAAAACUGUGCUUUAAAAACAGGUGAACGUGCAGCAAGGAUCAACUUAUGUGCUUUAAAUGUCUCAUCACCAACUUGAAACAUUAUAUCACACCCAACUUCGGAUUCUAACAAAGCUCUAAGAUUCUGACCCAUGUCUGAUGGCGGUACAGGAAUAGAAGACAGUUUUGGUCCCUCAAGGCGAGUUCUGACUACUCCAACAGUGCAGUUCAUGAUUAGGCAAUCAUCCUUAAUGUAGUCAGAACUUUCUAAAGUUGUUCUUCUAAAGAAUCGUUUGUAGCCCCUGAAUGCAUGGAAGAAAAGAGGUAAAAGCAAUAUAAUAUGCACUUAUUAUAGAAUAAAUAUUAUAGUAAAGCUGAAAGAAACUUAGAUGCUCAAAAUAAAAUGCACAUAUUUUAACAACAGAGAUGAACAUGAAACAUCGAAAGUGAUGUUAAAGGAAAUCACCAAUAAAACACUUCUUCAAAAAGAGAAAAGUUACUGGUUUCUGCCCCUAGAACCAUUUUCUUUUUUCUUGUUUCAGUCAUUGCCUCACUGGGUCCUGUCCCAGGCUCACUUAAGUUAUACUAACAGCUUCUAAGUGGUUUUUAGCUUAUAUGAGUUCAUAAUUCUCAGACACCUUAAAUUGGUGCAAUGCUUAGAUCCUCAAAAAUAAAUGUAGGAGAAUUUGCCAAAAAGAUGUAACCCUACCAAACGCUUAAUAACAACUCCAUUGAACCUUACGGAAAAAUAACUACAAUUCAAAGUGACUACACAAACGUCUCAAAAUCUAUAUAAAACAAUUAUUUUCAUAUCAACUUAUAGCUUAAACACGAUAAUGACAUGGGAAAUUUAACAAACACACACGAAUUGCUGAACCUCCAUUUUCGAUCAAAAUUCACCAACAUAUAGAACCAUAUCACUAUAAUGUAAAAAAAAGCAAGUACCCAAUAAAUUAUAAAAUUAUUCUCCCAAUGCACAAAUAUAUAUAGAGUUUCAAAAAAGAACAUAAAAUUAUAUACCAAACUCCUAAAGUCUAAACCAAAAUUAUUACCACAUGCUUCCUCUGUACUUCAACGUAUAAGGCCCACUCUCCAACGCUCUGUCAAAGUGACUAUGAACCUUAUGCUUCCCUUUCCCGCUCUGGUCAACAAGGGUGAGCUCGAAAAGCGCUCGAACAUCCGUACCUUCGCUAGCCAAGGCAAUGAAAACCGAAACAUACAUCGCACUAUCCUCCGGAUUUUUACCGUCGGGGUAGAAGUAAAUCGCCCAAUCGUAGCCUCCAACCGUAAAAAUAUCGCUUUGUAUACAUUUCCCGGCACCCAUCCCUUUCGCCAACGAGUAACCCUUGAUCGUGAAUUGGUGUGACCCGUUCACCGUCUCACUCACCGAUUUCGAUUCCGAAUCCUUGAAAUCUUCCAUGUUGCUUUUCUUUCUUUUUUUCAUCGAGUUCCCCAAAACCCUAACCCUAGAAAUUGCAUUUAUUGGGUAAAUUUGGAGAAAUAAGUGAGGGUAAAAUGUGGAAAAUAAGAGGUUAAGGCUAUUUCCUUAUAAAAAUAGAGGUGACGGUGAUUGUGGUGGCAGCAGCGACAGCAGCGGCGGCGGCGAUAAAAUGACCGGAGGGGAAAUGUUAAAGAGGUUUCUUAGAGGUUUUUUUUCCUUUUUCUCCUGCAUCGGUGGAGUUUGGGGGUUGGUUAACGGGAAUUGUGUAUGCAAUAUAUAUUUUUAAACAAAAUUAGCAUUUUUUUAUGAUGUAAAAAAGUAAAUAAUAAAUGGCUAAUAUACUAAAAAGCCCUUAAACGACUACUAAACUUUGAAAUUUUGAUGCAUUAGAAAUUUAAAAUUUAUAAAUUUAUAGAAAAAAUCAAAUUUUAUAAAAUAUCAAAUUUUAUGUAUUUUAAAUUUAAUAAUAAUAUAAAAAUAUGAUAAUUUAUAAAAAAAUUUAAAAUAUAUAAAAUUAAUAAAAAAAAGUUUGGAAUGAAUCUAAUUUAGAAGUGUUCGUGGAUUGGGUUCAGGUCGGGCUUAAGUAUGAUAUUAAUAUACUUUAUACUUGCUUAAGCUCAGCCCGACCCAAAAGAUGAGCUUAAAAUUUUGCCCAAGCCCGACUAUAUUUGUAAAUAACUAACCUAAGUCUGUUUUUGCCCACUCAUAUUAUUUUUAAAAUAUAUAUUUAUAUUAUUUUAAUUUAAUAUUUAAUAUUUUAAUAUUUUUUAUUUAUUAAAAUUUUAUAUUUAGUUUUCUUAACAUUUUUUAAUAAUUACAUUAUAGUAGUAUUAUAUAUUACUAUAGAUUUAAUUUUUAUGUGUUAUAAAUUAUAUAAUAUAAAACAUUACAAACUUAAAAAUAUAUUGGGUCGGGUUGGGCUUGGGCCUUAAAUGUUGAAGCCCAAGCUCGGCCCAUGUUUUAAAUAGGUCAUCCAAAUCCAUUUUUCGGACCUAAUAUAUUUUUUUCCAAACCCUCCCAAUUUCGAGCAAGCCUUCAGGCUUGGACGGAUAACUCAAUCCAUAAACAGGCCUAAUCUAGUCAAAUGAUUAUCCAGAUUCAAAUGUAUUUGGAGAAUUAGUUGUCUAAGUUCAUUCUAGUGACAAAUAAUAGUUUUAAUAUUUUUAUAAUUUUAUAUAUUUUAGAUUGUAUAUAUUUUAAAUUUCAAAAUAAUAAUAUUAAAUUUAAAUAUGUAUAUAUAUAAACUAAAAACUUAUGUCUAAAAUAUACUUGGGCAAAUGGUUGUCCAUAUUUAGAUGAACUUGGAGAACCAUUUGUCCAAUUCAUUCCCUAUAUGUUAAAAAUUUAUAUAUUUUUAAAAAAUGUUAAAUACUUUUAAAUAUUUUUUCACAUAUCAAAUGUAAAGCUUUCACUUAUCACGUGCUAUUGAUCAUUAAUACCACAUUAGUGUGUUUUAAUGGUGUUAAUCAGGUACCUAGGAAAAGUACUAAGUUAGCUUACGGUGUUUAAGUUUAGUUCCCAAUUAGAUCCAAAAAAAGUUAGGCAUCUAGGUACCAAUUGUUAAGUUUAAAUAGUUUCGAUGAAACCUUCAAUUUCUGUCGUACGUUAGGACAAGUGAGGAGUGUUACAAAUGCUUCUCAUAUGUAAUGCUAGAAAAACAGGCUCGAGCCAGAAAAGCCUGCUCGUGCUGAUCCAAGCUUCUAACAAAUAUGAUCUGAGAAAUUUGAGCCUAAUAUUGCUUGAGCUCAAGAAAGCCCGAAUCUAUAAGAAUUUGAGUCUGAGAUCAAUUUGGUCCAAGAUCGAGAUAAAUCCAACCUAAAGCCCGAAUUUAUAGCUGAACAACCAUAAUAGACAAUAAUUAAUAUAAUUUUACGAUAUUACUUAAAAUAUGUUCAUAAGCCUUACACAUUUAUAUUAAAAUUUUAUUAAUAGCAAAAGUAAUUAAUAAUAAAUCUUUAUGUUAAAUUAUAAAGUGAAAUAAAUUUUUAAAAAUAUUAAUCGAAUAUAAAAUAUUUUUAAUAUUACAAUUACAUAAUGUAUAAUAAAUAUAUAAAAUUAAUAAUUAUUAAAUUUUAUAAAAUUUAAAUUUAAUGAUAAUAUAAAAUAUAUAAUAACAUAAUUUAUUAAUUUAACAAUACGAUAAGUACUUAUAAAAAUUGAUUAACAUGAUUUAUUAUGCGAUACUGAGAAUAUUACUAAUAAUUUUAAUUUUAAUGAUUUGGGAAUUUAGGUUUUGUUUUUUAUUGAUUAAUGUUUAAUGUUUUUAUUAAUAUUAUUAUCUUUAUAUUAAUUUUUAAUUUGGAAUGAAUUUAUUUUUAUUUAGGUUGGGUUUUGAAUUAAAGUUUAAAUUGGGCCUACGUUUGGGUUUGUUUGGUAUUGGAUAUGGUUUUAAAUAUAUUACACGUUUAAUAAGUGUAAAGUUGGUUAAUUUCGUUUGAACAAUUUUUAAUUUCAAAACCGAAAUUGAACCGAUAACAUCAAAUCAACUGCUUACCUAACCCAACCUUUGCAUAUAUAAACUAGUAAUAUAAUAACUGAUAAUAUUUAAUCAUUAAUACAUAUAUAAACUAUUUAUUAUAUUAUAUUAUAUUAUAUUAUAUAGUAGGAGGACUAACUUUUAAAUGUAUGAAGAGUAUAGAGACUUAAAACAUAUUUCAACCAAUAUAAUAAUAAACAAUAAUAUGUAAUAAUUAAUAUAUUAUGUACUACUAUUAUAGUAUAUGAUCUAGUAUUACAUAAUGUAAUAAUAUAUUAUAAAACUAUUAAUACAUAUAUAACUAUUGAUUAGUCCAAAAUCAAAAUCGAAUUAACUAAUCGAUUUGCUUGAAUUGGCUCGAUUUAGUCAGUUAACAGUGGCGUAGCUAGGGGCUGGUAGGAGCCCCUAAAAUGGAAAAUUUUCCAUUUAGGUGCUUUAAAAUUUUUAAAAUUUUUAAUUAGUAAAGGUCAAAUUACAUUUUGGCCCCCUAAAAAUGAUAAUAAUUUUAUUUAAUCCUUUAAAAUUUAUAAAAAUAUAGGCUGUUCAAAUGGUAAAAUUGCAUUUUUAAUUUUGUAAAAAUUAAAAUUUAAUUUUGACCCCCUAAAUUUUUUUUUAUGGUUUCGCCCCUAUCGGUUAAGUAGGUCUUAAUAGCUAACUAUAAUAGAUGAUAUACUAUUAUAUAAUAGAAUAAUAUAGUAUGUAACUAUUACUAAAACUUUAAUACAUAUAUAUAACUAUGAUUAUAUUAUAUAUUAUAAUAAAAGAUAUAGUAUUACAUAAUAUUAUAAUGUUUAAUUAUUAAUGCAUGUAUAAACUAUUAAUAUAUUAUAUAUCAUAUGCAGGGGCAAAGCUAGAAAUUUUUUUUAGGGGGAUCGAAAUUAAAUUGUAAUUUUUAUGAUAGUAAAAAUGCAAUUUCACCGUUUUAAUAGCCUAUAUCUUUAUAAAUUUUAAAUGAUUAAAUCAAUUUUUUUAUCAUUUUUAAGGGGUCAAAGUGUAAUUUUACCUGCACUAAUUUAAAAUUUUUCCAUUUUAGAGGGGACCGCAGGCGUUGCUAGCCCCCUAGCUAUGCCCAUGAUUAUAUGAAUAUGAUAUAGUAUUAUAUAAAAUAAUAGUAACGCUAACUUUCAAGUGUACAAAGAGUAUAGGAACUUAGAGUAUAUUUCAACCAAUAUAAUAAUAAACAAUAAUAUAUAAUGAAAAGUAAUAUAUUUAAAACUAUUAAUACAUAUAUAUAACUAUUAAUUGGUCCAAAAUCAAAACCGAAUUUAUCAAUCGAUUUGCUUGAAUUGGCUUGAUUUGGUUGGCUAAGUCAGUUUUAAUCUCUAACUAUAAUAGAUGAUAUACUAUUAAAUAAUAUAAUAAUAUAGUAUAUGAGGAGGGAUCCACUUACACCGAUGUAAACCAUUUUGUAUCUCUUUGUAUGACUAAUAUUUUAAUAAUCUAAUUAUUGAAUUUAUCGAUAUAAUUUUACUUGUCCUGCACGUAAAAUUUUUAAUCGAUCCAAUAUUUCUAUCAUAUUGAUCUAAAAUACUAUAUAUAUAUUGAUAUUUAUUGAACAGAUCGAAAUUUUUUCAUAAAACAAAAUAGUUAGAAUUUUUAAUUUACAUAAAAUUUGACAUACAAAAUAUAUAUGAAUGAAAUACAAAAUGUAAUGGUUGGAUCGUGAAAAUAUUAAUCAUACAAAAAAAAUACGAAAUGUAGUAAAACUACUUUAGUUUUAUACUUUUACACCGAUGUAAGUGAAUCCCUCCCCAUAGAAUAUAACUAUUACUAAAACUAUUACUACGUAUAUAUAACUAUUAUUAUAUUAUAAAUUAUAAUAAAAAAUAUAGUAUUACAUGAUAUUAUAAAUUUUUUAAUCAUUAAUUCAUAUAUAUAUAAGUUAUUAGUAUAUUAUUUAUUAUAUGAUAUGAUAUAGCAUUAUAUAAUAUAGUAGGAGGGCUAAUUUUUAAAUGUACUGGGAGUAUAGAGAAUUAGAACAUAUAUAUAAACAAAUAUAAUAAUAAUUAAUAAUAAUUAAUAAUUAAUAUAGUAUUACUAUUAUAGUAGGUGCUAUAGUAUUACAGAAUGUAAUAAUAUAUUUUAAAACUAAUAAUACAUACAUAACUAUUAAUUGGUCUAAAAUCAAAAUCUAAUUUACAUACUGAUUUGCUUGAAUUGGAUCGAUUUGGUCAAAUAAGUUGGUUUUAGUAACUAAUUAUAAUAGAUUAUAUACUAUUACAUAAUAUAAUAAUAUAGUAUAUAGCUAUGACUAAAAUUAUUAAUACAUACUAGUAUUUCUAUCACAAGCAUAUGCGUGUGGACACGAUGUAUAACGUGUGGCUAACUUUAGCGGCGCUUAUCCCACAAACGCCGCUAUAGACCGAGACCUUUAGCGGCGUUUAUCCCAUAAACGCCGCUAAAGACCGAGACCUUUAGCGGCGUUUUUCCCACAAAUGCCGCUAAAGACCAAGACCUUUAGAGGCGCUUCUCCCACAAACGCCGCUAAAAACCAAGAACUUUAGCGGCGCUUUUCCCACAAACGCCGCUAAAAACAUUAUUUAAAAAAAUAUUUUAAUUAAAUAAUAUUUACUUCUAUCAUAAAUAUUUUAUUAUGUUUUAUUUUUAAAUUUUAAACUUUAAACUAUAACUUUUAAGGAUAAAAAAUAUUAUAUUAAAAUUUUAACUUUAAAGCUAAAUAUAAAAAUUAAUGAAUUUAAAUUAAGAAAAUUAAAACAAGUUACAUUCUAUAUUAGAAUUACAUAAGAAAAUUGUUUACAUUCUAUAUUAGAAUUACAUUAGAAUUACAUAAGUUCUGUUUACAAGUUACAUUCUAUAUUAGAAAAUUGUUUACAAGUUACAUUCUCUCAUGACCAACUCUCAAAAUCAACUAUUUAAGGGAUCUUUUUUCCCUUUACUCGGUGUAACCGAGUUGCAACAGGUGGUUUAUCCAUACUUUUCUUGCCAUCCCACAUGUAAACAUCACAUAUAGCAGUAGCAAUUGCAGCCUAGUACUUACAAGCAGAAAUGCUUACGAUUGUUUUCUCACAAAGGGAAUAUAGCUGUACAAAUUCAUCCAAAUGAAGUAAAUUAGUUUUAGAAUUUAAAAUAAUAAAUUAAUAACACAAUUAAGAGAUCAGUUAGCACAUUAGGAAGGGAGAGAAGUAUAUUGUAAGAGAAUAACUUGAGUGCCCACGACUCUCGCAAACUAAAAUAUAUCAAGUGAUUACAAUUAGGAUUUUCAACCUUUCACUGUCCUUAAACCUUUAGGAAGUAUGAUUACAGAACAUACUUUAGCAUUUUCCUGAAUAGAUAAUUUUGCCAGUCUCUCUUUCUCAGCACGCUGGAAUGCAGGUGGAUCUGAUCCUUCAUCGAGCCCUCCUGAAACCUUCAUGAACUGCACCAACCAGUAACAGCAUGAACUUGAGCUUCAAUGAUAGAACAGUUUCCAGUGGUACAAUUGUAACGGACAAAAGAAGACAGGAACGCCUAGUAGGUACAUGGGUGCUCACCUCUUCAUAACAUUCAUUACAAAGUCCAUAGGCAAAAGGUUUUCUCUCCUUGUGCCUACAUAGCACUUCAUCUAAGUUGGUUUCUUUUGACCCAGUAUUUGGUUGUUUUCUAGUUAGUGAACUAGUUCGAAGCUCCCUCUCCUUUUCCGUAAACUCCUCCAUCUGGUCAUAAGUUUAAAACAGUGGAGGUAUUUUCAAGAAAUGAAAUCAAUAUUUAAAAAAUAAAUGCAACAGAGGAUAAGUUAACUACAUGCAAAAUACAACAAAUUCAACAUAACACUUGUUGUAAUGAUAAAAAAUUGGCAUCAAAUUUUUCAUAAAAUUAUUUAGAUACUCCUUAGAGUGGACAUAAUCAAUAAGAGUAAUAGCAGUAAAGAUUCACUAAUCAAAUUCUACCAUACAAAAAAAUAAUAGCAAUGACACGUGUUACAAUUACGACAACAACAACAUAGCUUUUCUCCCAGAUGGUAAUUAUAAACAGAAACAAUUAAAGCUGAGAAUUAAAUAUACUUUUUUUCAUAUUUCAUUUCUUUGGGUCCUUUUCUCUUUUUUUAAUGUGCCAAAAAAAAGAAGAAAAAAAUCCAACAACAUGCCAACUAUACUUGCUGUUCCUAGAUCUCUAUAGUGAAACAGCAAGGGAAACCACAAUGUAGCAGACAUGUCAUUAACAAAACAUACCAACAUAUAAUUGUCAACAUAAAUGAUACCAUUUUUCAAAAGAUAAAAUCAAGGCUUUGCUUGGUAAAAUGGAAAAAAAAUUGGAAAGAUUAAAGAUUGAAGGAGAAAAAUAGAAAGAAAAUAUUUUUGUCCUUUCUGUUGGUACACUUGAUAGGAAAGAUGGAAAAAUAGAAAGAAAAGGUAAUUUAUUUUCAUCCAUUGCUUGAUAGAUUAGAAAAAUGAGAGGAAAGCAAAUUAAAAUUUAAGAUGUGAAAGGCAAAUUACCAAUGAGCUUGAAUACAUUUUAUUACUUUACAUAGUGUUAAGCAUCCAACCUAAAACUACUUGGCAGUAUAUGGGGAAACACAACUUGAAUAUAAGACAAGAAACCAAAGACUUAACAGACAUGAGGUUACACCAAUUAACACUGACCCUCACGAGCUCAACAAAAGCCCACAUGUGAAUAACCUCAUGUUAAGCAUCCAACAUAACACGGAAUUCAUAUUCAAUCACAUUGUUCACAUAGGCUUAAUGAAAGGUGCAUAAAUCUGCUGCUAAAAGUCAGGUUUGAAUCUCAUUCUCUCUACUCAAAGAUUACUUCCAAUGCCAAUUGAAACAAAUACCUUAGCAGGAAUCCAUUUUACAUGACCAAUAGCAUCCAUAGCAGCCUGAUAAAAGCCUUCCAUUGAUGCAAACCAUUGUUCAGUUGCCCUAAAUAUAGUAGGCUUCUUUGUAUGCCAAUCAUAUAGAUACUUAUGUUCUGCAUAACAGAAUAGGUAUGGUGAUUACUGGCAUGGGUACCCUUUUUUGUUUAACACUCAGAAAAAGAAUAGCAGCCAACAACAGACCUUUAUAAAAUUAUCACAAAGAAUAAUAAUAACAACAAUAAUAGUAGUAGAAAGAUGAGCUUUAAAUGAAAAACCUACCAUAUGAUUCUUCCAUUAUAAUGGACAAUUUUUCAUCCAAGUAUUUGAUAACUGCAGCAUUACCAUCUCCAAGAACAUCAAGCCCAUUAAACUGCCCAGCUUCCUCGGUGAACUUUCCAUUAUCAUGGUCUUAACUUGUUCCAGGCUUAUCAUAGAUCAGAAUAUGAGAAUUGCAAGUUUCUAUUAUGUAUAUCUUACCUGAGUCAAAAAAGCAUAGAGUGGAAGAGUCACAUAAUUGAAAAGGAACUGUAUGAUAACCCUGAAAAAGUUGCAAAUUUUACAUUUUAUGAGAAAAGUUUCCACUUUGUUAAAUCAAAAUGUUGGCCUAAAAAGUUGCAUGAACUCACCCCAUUGAGACUCUAAUGAUAACGUCUUCAAUAUGUUCAUCGUAGCAAGAUCUUAUCGUAAAUUCAUACUGAAAUUUGAUGAAAAAAGGACUUAUUAGAUAAGGUGAUCAAACAAAUUGCAUAUGAAACACGCAACAGAAAGGAAAGAACUACAUGUACAAAUUUGCAUAUCAAACAAUUUGCUCAUAAUCCCAAACCAGAAAUACAUGUACAAAUGAAUCAAACAUGCUAUUGUACUUACAAUUAAGGGGAUAAAAGGUAGCCAUAAAUAUGAAUACCAUCCUGUUGAUGAAGAGCAAAUUGAUCAUUAAUAAUUAGUAAGCUCAAAAAUAUCCAUCACUAUGUUCAUAUGAUGAUACUAUUGAACUUAAUUCUCUAUGAAUAUGAUGAGAUACUUACCAUGUGUAUAGGCAAGACAAUCAUUAACUUAGCAUCGUAAAGUUUUAACUAAUAAAAUUGAAGAACACUUGGUUAGCUUGAGACUACCAACCUGAUCCCUAUAACAACUUUAAAAUCAUCCUCUAAUGAUCUCUUGAUGUAUUUCUGGAAAUCGAAUUUUGUUUCGUUUUCAAGUGCCAAAUGUGCCUGAAAGCAUUGCAGAUUGAAGUUUCAAUUAGAAACAAGAAAAUAGGAAAAAUAAAAUAACAUAGAACUCCAUAGAAAUCCAUGGCUUAGCUUACCAUGAUAAAUCCAUGCCUCAAUGUCAGGUAAUCAACCUUUGUGACUGACCCAAAGAAUUGUCUAAAGAAACAGACCUAUAAAUAAAGAAUCGAAUCAGAAUUCAUAACCAUAAAAUGUCACCUAAAGAAAAAGAAUCCCAUGCUAUAAAUUCAAUGGUUGCUGGACUUAUUUUACAGAAGGGACUCGGAUUUUUCAUUUUUCUUGAAAUGCUCAAGUUUUUUCGUAAAAGUCGGGCCCUCCAAUUAUAUGAAAAAAAGUUCAAAUGUUCAUCUGAUUGUACUUACAAUCCAAAGAGUUAAGGUAGAACGGCUCCAAAAGCUCAGAUGCCUAAACCUGAAAACUAAUAAUCAUAAAGUGAACCAACUGAAUUAGAAGUAAAAAAAAUAGUUCUAAAACAAAAAAUAUAAAUGAAAAGGCAAAAGACAAAGAGAAAGACAGAAAUGAAAACGCAAACACAAGUAAAGAUUCAUACCUGAAAUCAGUCUCCGACAAAGCAACCAAAAAGAAACAGACAGACCCACAACAAUAGAUUUCAAACAAAGAGUGAAACAGUGAGUUUUGCAAUAGAAAGCUUAGGGAUUAUCCCUCACGAAAGUAGACAAAUAAAAAACUAAAAAGAAACAGACAGACCGACAUCGAUAGAUUUCAAACACAUAGCGAAAACAAGGGAUUUCAAUAUCACCAAAAAAAAGAAACGGCAGACAAAAUCUUUGGGUUUCUCCCUCUCACGAAAAAGAAUGAGGGGAAAUAUUGAAAUGAAACCGAGAGAGAGAUAAUGAGAAGGAAGCGGGAUAUGAAAAGUCUGAAGAAAACGGGAGUGAAGAAAAGUCUAAAGAUUAGGGAUUCAGGGGGAAAAAUUAGGGUAAAAUGGCAGGAUUUUAUAAAGUUAAAUGAUUUUUGCGGCGUUUUCUAAAAAAAACACAGCUAUUGUCAUUUUGAACAAAAAUUAUUUUAUUUUUGUAUUUUAAUAAUAUAAAUAAACAAAAUAUUUUUAGCGGCGCAUUUUCAAAACCCCGCUAAAGACCCCAACAUUAGCGGCGCUUUUUCAAAAACGCCGCUAAAGACUCCAGCAUUAGCGGCGCUUUUCCAAAAACGCCGCUAAAGACCCCAGUAUUCGCGGCGAUUUUCCAAAAACGCCGCUAAAGACCCCAGUAUUCGCGGCGAUUUUCAAAAACACCGCUAAAGACCCCAACAUUAGCGGCGCUUUUCCAAAAACGCCGCUAAAGACCCCAUCAUUAACGACGCUUUUUCAAAAACGCGCUACAACCCCCAAAGGUAAGAAAACGACGCCGUUGGGCUUUGGUUUUUUGCGGCGUUUUUUAAAAAACGCCGCUAAUGCUCUAUCUUUAGUGGCGAUUUUCUUAAAGCGCGCUAAUGCUCGAUUUUUACCGGCGUUUUUUUAUCCAAACGCCGCUAAAAGUGUCGUUAAAAGUCUGUUUUGGUGUAGUUUGAAAAAAAUAAAACAUAUGGUGUUGUCAUCAAUCACAAGUUAGUGUCAAAUUGACUCGUGAAACUAAUUCAAUCAACAACAUUUUGUCAUUUCCCUAAUCAAGUUGGUGUCCGGUUGACUCGAGACAUCAACUUAGUCUGUGGCUUAAAUAAUAGUAUAAAUACAAAUGGUGGAGGGAAUAAAAUGUGCUUAAUAAAAUUAAAAUGCAUGGCAAAAAAUCAAAAUAAAGCUUUGGUGAGUAGUAAAUUAAAGGUUUUAACAAUUCAAUCAAUGUGAGUUCAAAUUCAACAAUAUGCAUAUUUUUAUUGUAUUUUUUCAAAUAUAAAAAAAAAACCUAAAGUACCCUUGAAUUAUAUAAAUUAUUUUAAAUACAAAAAGAUAAUUUUGUCAUUUCCCUAACCAAGUUGGUACUCAGUUGACUCAUUACACGAAUUUAAUAAAGGGCUUAAAUAAUAAUAUAGAUAUAUAACUAUUAUUAUAUUAUAGGUUAAAAUAAAAGAUAAAGUAUCAAUAAUUAUGCAUAAUUUAGUAUAUUAUAAAACAUAUCUAUAACUAGUAAUACAUGAAAUGUUAUUAAAAUUUUAAUAUUUUAAUAAAAUAUUUUUUUAUUAAAUUAGAUUUUGAAUUGAGUUUUAACUUUUACAAAAUGUAUUUGGGUAUUGAGUUUUUUUUUUUAAAUUGAGAGUUGACUUAUAAUUAGUUUAUUUUGACUUUUCGUAAUAAUGAGUAUAAGAUUCAAGUUUGGUGUAACACCUCUUACCCGUAUUCGAUCCCGGAAUAGGGUACGAGGCAUUACUAAAACACAUACACUUGUAUACGUAUUAAACCGAUUUACAAAAUUUCAUCCGAAUUAAAACUGUUUAAAUUAUUAACAUGCUUUUAUAAUUCUUUACAACAUAUCCUCGAAUUAUUAUAUUCAUAAAUAAUAGAGCCUAUAAGACUCGAUACAAACUCAUUCAUAUGCUCAAUUUAUCCAUUAAAUUAUUUCAACCUUGAAUAAUUCACAUUAUGCUAAAAUCAACACUAAUAACAAUCAUAAAUAUCUUCAUAUUAAUUUCACAUAUUACUACAUUACAUAUCACGAGCAUAUGCCAAAAGUUCGUAUACACAACCAUCAACAAACUCAUUUCUCCUUUAGUCGACUAGUAAAUUAGCCUUAAUAUUCAUACCAACCAUUAAAUCUCACCAUUUUAUAACAUCUCAUAACCAAAUGAUUCUAAUAACAAGAUAUUUUAUAAUCAUCCUUAUGACUACAGAUAUUUCACAAAGCAUGAUUAUCACCCAACAUUAUCUAUGUACCAAAAUCACUAAUUCACAAGUAAUAACAACUCAAUGUUUUAUUUCAGUUCCAUUCAAUUCAUAACUCUUCGUGUUCACAAUUCAAAUUAAUUUCUCAAUCCAAUUUGCAUUUCAAUACUAUAAUAAUUCUUUUAAUUCAAAUCAUAUCCAUAAUAGUUUUCAUUCAACUCACAAACAAUUCAAUAUCGAUAUUUACCUUAUGUUUAUUACUAAACAUAUUAUUCAAAUUUCAACAAUUUCUAUUAAUAAAUUCAAUACCAAUACGAAUCUACUAUUCAAUUCGGCGUCUAUCGAUUAUAAACGAACAUAUGGCCAAUUAUACACGAAUCAUUCGUAUAUUUUAUUUUUCCUCCUCCUCCUCUCCAUUCCACAUCCUUAGUGUACAUAACACUUUUAGAAAUAGCAUUCUCUAUAGUUUCACUAUCCAUUCAACUUCAAAUAAGUUGUCUAGUCGAGUUACAGUCACUAAAUUAUUUUUAUCCGGAGCUACAGAGCUCCAAAUUAAGUUCCGUUAAUUUUUCCCGAAACUAGACUCACAUAUCUUCUUACCAUAAUUUUUUUAGAAUUUUUGGCUUGGCCAAUCAGUACAGAUUAUUCUUUAGAGUCACCCAUGUUUCACUGUUCAACAUCUCUGACCUCUCUUCACUAAAAAUGAAUUAUCUCAUUGUACAGAUUUCAGAUGAUACCUCCGUUUGUUUUCUUUGAAAAUAGACUCAUUAAGGGGUGUUACAUUUGGGCUCAAUGUAGUAUAUUUAGGUUUUGGAAUAUGAGUAUUAUGUUUAUAAAUUUAAUAAUAAAGAUAAAAGUUAUUCAAUUAUCAAUAUAUUAUAAUAAUAAACAAUAAAAGAUAUGUUUGUCAAUUAACAUACAUAUCGUAUAAUAAUUUUUACAUAUAAAUAGUAAUUUAAUUAUUUUAUAUAAAAUAACUUUAUUAAAUAUAUAUCAUUUAUACUUUUUAUAAGGUAAAUUUGAAUUGUGUUCUCAUUGUAUAAAAGUAAAAUGAAUCAUUACAUUUGAAAUUAAAAUAUUUAUAACUUAAAAUGAAUCAUUCACUUUUGAAGAAAAUUUAUUCGACCGAGCGUCUCACCAUGGGGUGCACUGGUUUUCUUUGUAAAGAAGAAGGAUGGGUCAUUACGAUUACGCAUAGAUUAUCGCCAGCUGAAUCGGAUGACCAUUAAAAAUAAAUACCCUCUUGACCUGUUACUAAUUAUAGUGGUAGUUUAGAUACGUUUCGACAUUUAAGGAACUUAUUUUCUAGCUAUUUUAGUAUUAAUUAUUGCACUUCCGAUACUUAGUAGUUCAAUAUUAAGUAUUAGUAAAAUAAGUGUUUUUACACAAUUUUGAAUGUUAUUGACUUAUGUGACCACUAAUGUAACCAUUAAUUUUGAAUGAAAUUGAAAAUAAUUUAGAUGCAACCACUAAUGCGGACGAGCCCAUAGAGGAAGUAACCAAACCAAUAGCUAAGUUGGAGAUCUAAAAACUGAAAACACCAAAGAUAUCAAUCCCAUCAAGGUUAGAGGACGAACAACGGAGGGACGAGGCUUAUUUUGUAAGUAUUCCUAACUUAGGGUGGGUUUGGAUGGUCGAUUGGGUGCAGUGCGGUGCAUUUAGUUUAAUUUUUGUCUCACGCUACAGUAUCGCUACAGUAUCUAAUCUCACCGUCACUGCUAUUUUUACACUAACCGCAGGUAAACGCACCGCCCAUCCAAACUCACCCUUAGUUAAAUCCCUCAAUUCAAAUUUUCACUAUUAUAACGUAUUAAUAAAAUCCCAAAAUAUGCCAAGUAUUUAAAAGAAACAAUUGCACGACAUAAGAAAAUGGAAAGAGGAGAGCAAGUUAACAUUGAUGCCUUAUGUAGUGCAUUAAUUGUGAAAAAGAUACCCCUAAAAUUAAAAUAUUCAAGUGGUUUUACGAUUACAAUAAAGAUAGGGGAUUAGUAUUUUAAUAGGGUCCUUUACGAUUUAGGGGCCAGUAUAAACUUAAUGGCCCUAUCGAUUUAUCAUAAACUUGGAAUCAAUGAGUUAAAGAACACAUCUAUAAUGAUAUAGUUAACCAAUAGAUAUUUGGUACAACUGAAAGGUGUACUCGAUACGGGAAUUUAUAAUCCCUGUCGACUUUGUAGUCCUCGUCACAUUUCCUGGUUCAACGGGCAAUGUUCUGAUACGAUAUGACAUGAGUUCGAUACGAACUAUUACAGGUAUAGAUAUGAAUUACAUGGAAAAUGAUAUUACAUGGUAUAUGGGUAUAUAAAAUGGAUGAUACAUGUAUAUGCAAUUUGAUUAAUUGUUAAGCUUAUCUAUGGCUUGGUUUAUAUACCUGUUUACAUGACUAACAUGGUUGAGGUAUAUGUACUUAGGCAUGUGGCCAAUAUAUGUUGGGAUAUGCUUUGAUUACUUACCUUAUAUGUGAAUAAAUGGUAAGUUAAAUUCUAUGAUAUACGAACUUACUAAGCUUAAAUGCUUACUCUAUGUAUUUUCCGUGUUUUAUAGUGAAUCUAAAGAUCAUUUGGGUUGGAAGCUUGUCAGGGCUAUAUCACACUAUCCAUCAGCUCUUUUGGUACUUUCAGUUGGUUUAAUUUUGGUUAUAAUGGCAUGUAUAGGUUAUUUUGGCUAAUGUUGACCUACAUGUUUUGUUGUUAUUUUGGCCAUCUAUAUGCCUUGUGUCUUAGCACUUUAUUGAUAGUAUGAGUUUAGUAUAUGGUAUGUAAAUAUUUGUUCUCUAAUGGUUGAUGUUUGGAUUGCUAUGCUUGAAUUAUGGAAUAUGAAAACUAUAGCAUGAAUGUGCACAUUGUAUAUAUGCUUUGUGAUAGAAUGCAAUCGUGGUAAAUUAACACUUUUGUGGAUAUGAUUUACAUGGUCAUUUGAUGCUAGUCUUAGAAUGGUGUUUUGGUACCAAAUGGUUACGUUUUGGUAAGAAGUUUACAUGUUAAUAUUUGGUACAACUAUGCGUAUAUGUUAGUUAAUCAAUUAGGUAAGUUUGAAUACAUGGUUAACAUGUUUAUAAAUUAUCAUUUGGGGUGCGUAAGGGCAUAUUGGUUGUAUGUGAUUAUACCAUUUGUAUAAGGCUAGAAAAUUCAUGGAUUUAGUAUCAUAUUAUGGCUUGCUUAUAUGCAUAAUGUUGGGUGUAGGUUUAUGCCAAAUUGGGUGAGAAAAAUGGCUUGUAAAAUGGCCUAUUUUCGUCUACAUUGGCAUGUGUCUCAGUCAUGUGUGACACAUAGCCAGGUAGCACGGCCGUGUGUCCCCUGCAAUUUUUAAAGGGUUACAAGUCAGGCUGUUACACGGCCUAGCACACAGGCGUAUGGCUUAGUCGUGUGACCAAGUCAGAGAGUUACACAGGUACAGACAUGGGCUGGGACACGGCCGUGUGUCUCCAUUUCGAAGGCCUACACGACCUAAGACACAGGCAUGUCUCUUGGCCGUGUAACCCCUUCAGCUUUAAAAAUUUUAAUGUUUUCCAAAAAUUUCAUUGAGUUUCUGAUUUAGUCCUGACUUGUUUCUAACGCGUUUUAUGGCCUCGAGGGCAUGUAUAAGGGACAACAUGAAUGAUUUUGAUUGGUUUUUUAUAUGAAUAUUGUUAUGUUAUGAAAUGUUCAAAAUUUUGUUUAUUUGUACUGUAACCUCUGGUAGUACUCCGUAAAUCUGUUUCGACGAUGAAUACGGGUUAGGGGUGUUACAUUAUUCCAUCCUUGUGGUAAGACAUGGGUAUGCCUAAGAGGCAUUAUCUGAAAGAAUUCUCAGCAAUGAACCCGUGUAAUGAUUUUUUCAUGGUGACUAUCAUAAUAGGGAACUUGGGGUAUUUGGAUUGUUGAUGGUGCAACUGUUUGGCAAACUUGGAAUUUCUUAGUUCUUGUAUUUAAGUUAUAUGGGAUUUUAUUUCUUGAAUUAAAACGUUGUAUUCUUCUAACAAAUAUGUCUGUCUGGACUAGAUUGAAUAUACGAUGUAACUUGUGUUUUAAUAAUUAUUGGGUCUUGUAAAGGAAUCCGUCAAAAGUAGUAUUUAUUGAGUAUCGUUCUGAGGAUCGUAUCUAACUAAACUGCAAAGGAAUUGUGUAACGAGAUUCAAAAUAUGGUGUAAAGUCUAAAAUUCAUCAGUCAAGUGAAAUGAGUAUAAAAAGGUUAAGUGCAAAGACUGACGUAUCGUUAUCCGCUAACCAAUAACUUGAAAAGUAUCCGCCAAGGUUUAAGAAGGAUUCCAAACCCUUAGGUCGAAGACUUCUACAACACUUUUUAAAGGAAAUAAUGAGUGAGACCCACUAAGUUCCUUUGUACUUGUAUGCAUCUUUUAGUAUGCAAGUCUGAUAAUUGAACUAGUGCACGAGGAAUGACCAAGCCAAUGAUGUGCCAUGGUGGUAGAUCGAGGGCAAUAUUAUGCAUACAGAUGGACAUUCUUAGAAAUAUGUUUGUCAAAUGACAACUAGUAAUACACACUACGAAUAUGUAUGUUAAAUCAAACAUUUAUGUUGUAAAGUUUUAUACUACCUUUGAAAGUCUGUGACAAACGAUGUAUGUUUUAUUCAAACUUAUUAUCUUAGAAAGUUUUAUACCCAUGUCUCUCGGCCGUGUGUGACACACUGCCUGGCCAUAUAGGUGUGUGUCCCCUACACCUUUGAAAAAUUUCAAUAUUUUUCGAAAAAUUCUUUAAGUAUCCGGUUUAGACCCGACUUAUUUUUAAUGUUUAUUUUGGGCCUCGAGGGCUCGUAUUAGGGAUGAGAUGAUGGAAGUUAAUUGGUUUUUGACUUGGAUGUGAUAUGAAAUGAAAUGUCUGUUUGUUUGGUCUGUAAGUCAGGUAAUGCUCCGUAACCUUGUUUCGGCAUCGAAUACGGUUAGAGGUGCUACAUGGAAGAUAUGGAAUAGGUACCAAAAUGUACAUUUUGCCAAAAACAGGGGCCAUGUCUAUGUCUCGACGACCAACAUCCCUCGUCACAACGUCGACUGACGAUAAGUGACACUGCAAUGUUAAAUUGCAUGAAGUCAUGACAUGACUUACUAUAUUGGUGAUGUCACGGCGUGGAAGUCAUAUAAUUGUAAUGUCAAUCCUGAAUUUUUAAAAUUUUGCAAUUUGGUCCUAUUUCAUACUCAGGUUAACAAAAGAGCUUUCAUAAGCUCAUAUAAGACCCAAAAAUGAUUAUUUAACAUAAAUUAAAUGUGAUUGAUGUUUAAUUGCAUGUGUGAAUGAUUAAGUACUACCUAAUUGAUUGUUGUUAUUCCGGUAACAAAUGUAGCAUUCCGUAACUCAGACCCGGUGAUCGGGUUGAGUGAGGGGUAUUACACAAGGUAUGAUAAGUCAAACAAGAUAACAAAUGGCUUAACAUAAACUCAAGUAACUUAAGGAUCAAAGUGAGAAAUAAAUAUUAGUUUUUCCUUCCCCAAUAUUCACUUAAUUUCAUUUUCAACUCAACCCUUUUUGUCUCACCCCUCGUAUAUCUCCAACAUUCAAUAAUAAAACAUAUAAGUAAAAGUAAUACCAAGACAAUGAAAUAAAAGUCACUAGCACUUUUUUUUAAGAAACAAAAAGAAUAUGUUUUAUCUUCUCUCCUCAAUUCAUUCACCAUAAUACUCAUUCUAUUUUUAAGCUCAAAAUAAUGAUAUUUGUCGAAACCAUCUUUUAUUUUGAAAAAAAAUCUGAAGGGAUCGACUUUGAAAAUAAAAAUGGGAGUCGCCACCGAUCUUUUAUUGGGGUGUGAUCGGAUCACCUUGAAAACAAUUUUAGGUCUACGAAUUUUGAGAAAACAGGUUUGGGAGUCGGUUACACACGAGGAAGGGUUAGCACCCUCGCAACGCAAAAAAAUUGGUACCGAAUUGAUUGCUUAAUAUCUUAGUUUUGAAAAUUUGAAAAGAUUUUAAAAUACGAUCCUUUGAAAAGAAAACUUGAAAAAUUGAAUUGGAUGAUAAGACAUACCCAUUUCAAAGAAAUAAAUUGUCACACCCAGUGAGUUAGGGUGCAACAGUCCAAUCUUCGAAAUUAAGUUUGUCUUUUUUAAAUUUAAAAUUCAUGCCUUUUUAGAAGGAUAUUUGGUUAUUUGGGUCAAACGAGAAAUCAGAAUUCAGUAAGUUAGCGUUCAAUUUCUCGAAAUUCCUAAACAUCGAAUAUUGUCUUUAUUUUAAAAUCCUUAACUCGAGAUAACAAAAUGUCAUAUUCAGUGAGUUAGGAUUCAACAUUUUGAAAUCCCGAAAAAUUUUAUUUAGAAUUUGUAUGGUUUUAUUGCAAAAGAAAUACUUCGCUGUCUAAAUUCAUCAAAAGAAAUCAAAGCCCAGUAAGUUAAGGCACAAUCCUCUCGAGAAUUGCAAAUACCAAGUAUUUUGACAAUUUACGACAUAAGAUGAUUUUAAUGAUUUUAAUGAAACACAAUUUUUUUUUAAAAUGUAGUGUGAUUAAGCGGCAACGAACCAUGCAAAAUUCGAAUAUAACAUGCACACCAAUGAGUAAUGAACAAUAAAUAAACAUAACCUAGUAUAACAAUAAUUUCAAUCAUACAUUAUGCAAAUAUCAACAUCAACAUUUAAAAAUUAUUAAUCUAAAGAAAAAUAAAAUGCAACUCAUAAAAAACAAAAAUGAGAGAAAAGAAAUUUGGAAUUAAAAAAUAUGUACACAAAAUUUUAAAUUUACAAAAAAAAUAAAAAAAUUAGUAAUUAAUAUGAAGAUUUGAAAUAAUUUAAUAAUAGAACUAAAAAUGAAUAAAAUGUUUAGAUAAAUUUUAAAGAAAGAAUUAUGAGAAGAAAAUAAAAAUGAAUAAAUCUUGAAAUUAAUAUAUAUAUUUUAAUCUAGAUAAGUAAAACCUAAUGUAAAUAAUAAUGUACAUAUAGUAAUAAUAAAUAUAAUAAUAAUAAUAAUAAACCAAUUAAUUUAAUAGUAAAAAAACAAAACAAAACAAUAGAUUAAUUUAGAACUAAAACAAACUCUCAGGGAUGAAUUUGAAACAAAUGUGUAAACGACCAAAUUAAGAAUUGUUUAACAUCAGAGGGACUAUUGCAGCAAUUAAACGCACAAAUCCUCUCUAGCAUACAGAUCAAUCCUUCCAAAGCGGCGUCGUUCUAUUAUGUAUUCAAUUGGAACCAAAACCAAAUAUAAUGUAUAAAUUAAAAUAAUGAUAAAAAUUGAAUUAAAAAUAUAAAAAAUACAGAAGGACCUGUUGCGCAAAUGGACCAUUGAGACAAAACGCGCAGAUCCUUCCCUCGGAUCGAGUCACCAUGCGGGUCUGAGCUCAUUACGACGCCAUUUUGAGGUCACCUCAAUCAGCCUCAAACGACACUGUUUCUCAACGUAUAUAAAUGCCACAUUAAACCCUAAUUAGUAACUUUUAUCAUUUUUAAAACAAAAAUUUAAAAAAAGGAACCCUAGGCCCUUUUCCUUCUGCCGUAAAACUAUUUCACCCCCUCUCAGACUUCGAUUUCGACGAAGCGAGUGAGGUUCGGCGUCCAGGUAAGCUUUCUAACCCCUUCUCUAUUACUGCGUUUGAAUAAAAAUAAAGACGAAAUAAAAAAAUAAAGAAAAGCAAAGAGUUUAUUCACCUUUCGAUUUUUUUCGUUUUCUCUAUUUUUUAUUUUUUUGUAUUCAAUAUCCGUGUGUAAUCCUUUUACAGUUUCUGAGACAGCCUUUUAUAGCUGAAAACUAAAAAUAAAAAAUCAAGAAAAUUUACAGAAUCUUCUUUUUUUUUCUAUCAUUUUCUGUUAUUUUCUUUGUUACUGCUUUUUGCUUGCUUGUUGCACAGGUACGACCAGCUUGGAGGGAACGCGCGUGGAUCUGGUGUGCGAGGAGUUGAAGGCGCGUGCAUGUGCUUGGAUGCUAGAGCUGCUGACUGCUGUGACGCCAGAAGGAUCUAGAAACCCUAGGGGUUUCUGGAAAAAUUUGGGCCGUUUGAGCUAUUAUAGCUUGGUCAAAUUGAGUUAAUUUUGGGUAGUUUAGGUUAGAAUGACUUGGGUUAUGUAUUUGGUAUUUUUAAUUUCGGUUUGGGCUGAUUGGGUCGUGAGUUUGUAAAUGGACAUUUAUUUAAUUGAAUUUUUAGUUUAAUUUUAAUAUUUGUAAAAAAACUAGGCUGUUAAUAGUGGAUAUUUUAAUUUAAUUUAUUUGUUUUUCUUUUUUUUUGGUAUUUAUUGGGUCGGGCAAAAUGUGUUAUUAUAGCUGCCCCUCUUUGCUCAUUGUCGUAAAACAGGAAUGAAGCAAAGACUUUAAAAAUGACUAAUUUUACCCAGUUAUACUGGACCUUGGUACUUAUUUUCUUCACGUAGCCUCAUUCCAUCCUACUACAUCUUCAGAGUCAUAGGAAUUGAUGCCUCGAUCCACUCAUUGCGACGUCAAGGAGAUAGGAUUAUUGGCUUUAAUUUGCUCCACUGCAACCUCUGGGAGAUAAGAUUUGCCAUCUUCAGUCUACCCCACUACCACUCAGGGAGAUAAAGCUAGUGGCUUAAAUCUACUUCCCUACUACCUUGGAAAGAUAAGAUUCGCCGUCUUCGAUUUGCUCCACUACUGUCCAGGGAGAUAGGACUUACAAUCUUCAACCUAUUCCACUGCUAUCUAGGGAGAUAGGACUGGUAUCUUCGAUCUGCUUCGCCGUCAGUACAGGAAUGCAAGAUCUGUUAUUUUCAACCUACUCCACUGCUGCUCAAGGAGACAAGGCUGGGGACUUCCACCUGCUCCAGUACUACUUAGGGAGAUAAGAUCUGUAAUUUUUAACCUACUCCACUGCUGCUGAGGGAGACAAGGCUGGGGUCUUCGAUCUACUUCGCUGCCAAUACAAGAAGACAAGAUCUGCUAUUUUCAACCUACUCCACUGCUGCUCAAGGAGACAAGGCUGGGGACUUCGAUCUGCUCCACUACUGCUUUGGGAGAUAAGAUAUGUAAUUUUUAACCUACUCCACUGCUGCUCAAAGAGAUAGGAUUCAUAAUCUUCAACCUAUUCCACUGCUGUCCAGGGAGAUAGGACUCACAAUUUUCAACCUAUUCCACUGCUGUCCAUGGAGAUAGGAUUCACAAUCUUCGACCUAUUCCAUUGUUGUCCAAUGAGAUAGGAUUCACAAUCUUCAACCUAUUUCACUACUGUCUAGAGAGAUAGGAUUUAUAACUUCACCGAUCUGUUCUCUAAGAAACAUGACUUGUAUAAUUCAUUUUAUGAACCUAAUUAUGCCUAGUGAUUAGGAUGUCAUGAUCAAAAUAAAUCAAAUUCUCCUAACUAGACGUGUAUGAAUGGUGUUUGCAUGAAUGUAGAAUGCUAUUUUUUUAGAAUGAUCCUUCUUUAUCACUUAGGUUAUCAUUGCUCGAAGUUUAUUAAGGCUUUAUCACUAACGUGCUACAACGCCUUCUUGCUCGGUUGGGGUUUUCAAAGAAACACUUAGUCAGAUUUCCCCCACUGUGAACCUUAAAGUUCAAUCCACUGAGACGCAAAAUUUGUACCAUCAUUCUCCCACUGUAACCCAAGGGUAGAAAUAUAUGGCUUUUCCUCAAUCAUCUCCUAUCACAAUUCAAGGAUACCUUACACCAUUCCCAGGGUGUCGUACCAAAGGAUCAUGCACAAAUGAAAGCUUUCUUCUCCGAGGAAACCUCUUCCUAUUGCCUGGUGAUCAUUGCUUGCUUGUUUAUUUAAGUUUUUUCAUCAACACGACAUCUUGUCAUUUUGUUCAAUCAAUAUUUUUGACAGCAAAAUCUAAAGAGAAAGUCCUAAUUUAGGCUCUUCCUUUUCAGAUUUUCAACCUUUAAACUUGGUGCGUUCUAAACAAUAGUCCUGUUUCAGACUCCUGUAUUAUUUAGAAACUUCUAGAGUAAUAUGCAAAACUUCCAUUGUGAAAGUUUUAUUAGUCCAUUAAUCAUUAUUCCAAUGCAACAUACUUGCAAAAAAGGUCAUAACAAUGGAUAAGAAUAAAGUUGGUUCUGAGCAUAACUCGAAAGGAAUAAAUUAUCAAAAAUAUCAAAAAAUUGAUUGGGAAUGUGUAUAUUGGAAAAGAAUGAAGUAUUUCAAGAACAACAAAAUCAAAAUAAAUAGUUUGAAAAUUGAGUGCCCCAAAUAUCGCAGCUUGAACUUCUCUAUACAAACUUUCUUAAGACCAUUCUGAGUUUGACAUGUGUUUAGGAGAUCUAUAGUGCUUUGUCGAUGCCCCAAGAUGUCGCUUACCCUUUCAUGUUGAUUGAAAAUCAAAUUUUCAAUUUUCGACAAUAAAACAGAAAACAAUCAAUUUUGCGGCUUGACUCUCUAAAUUCCCCAGCGGAGUCGCCAAGCUGUCGAAACCAUCUUUUAUUUUGAAAAAAAUCUGAAAGGAUCGACUUUGAAAAUAAAAAUGGGAGUCACCACCGAUCUUUUAUUGGGGUGUGAUUGGAUCACCUUGAAAACGAUUUUAGGUCUACGAAUUUUGAGAAAACAGGUUCGAGAGUCGGUUACGCACGAGGAAGGGUUAGCACCCUCGCAACGCCAAAAAAUUGGUACCAAAUUGAUUGCUUAAUGUUUUAAUGUUGAAAAUUUGAAAAGAUUUUAAAAUACGAUCCUUUGAAAAUAAAACUUGAAUAAUCGAAUUGGAUGAUAAGACAUACCCAUUUCAAAGAAAUAAAUUGUCACACUCAGUGAGUUAGGGUGCAACAGUCCAAUCUCCAAAAUUAAGUUUAUCUUUUUAAAAUUUAAAAUUCAUGUAUUUUUAGAAGGAUAUUUGAUUAUUUGGGUCAAAUGAGAAAUUAGAAUCCAGUAAGUUAGGGUUUAGUUUCUCGAAAUUCCUAAACACCAAAUAUUGUCUUUAUUUUAAAAUCCUUAACUCGAGAUAACAAAAUGUUAUAUCCAGUGAGUUAGGAUUCAACAUUUUGAAAUCCCAAAAAAAUUCAUUUAGAAUUUGUAUGGUUUUAUUGCAAAAGAAAUACUUGGCUAUCUAAAUUCAUCAAAAAAAUUAAAGCCCAGUAAGUUAGAGCACAAUCCUCUUGAGAAUUGCAAAUACCGAGUAUUUUGACAAUUUACGAAAUAAGAUGAUUUUAAUGAAACACGAUUUCUUUUAAAAAUGUAGUGUGAUUAAGCGGCAACGAACCAUGCAAAAUUCGAAUAUAACAUGCACACCAAUGAGUAAUGAACAAUAAAUAAACAUAACCUAGUAUAACAAUAAUUUCAAUCGUACAUUAUGCAAAUAUCAACAUCAACAUUUAAAAAUUAUUAAUCUAAAGAAAAAUAAAAUGUAACUCAUAAAAAACAAAAAUGAGAGAAAAGAAAUUUGGAAUUAAAAAAAAUAUGUACACAAAUUUUAAAUUUACAAAAAAAUAAAAAAAUUAGUAAUUAAUGUGAAGGUUUGAAAUAAUUUAAUAAUAGAACUAAAAAUGAAUAAAAUGUUUAGAUAAAUUUUAAAGAAAGAAUUAUGAGAAGAAAAUAAAAAUGAAUAAAUCUUUAAAUUAAUAUAUAUAUAUUAAUCUAGAUAAGUCAAACCUAAUGUAAAUAAUAAUGUACAUAUAAUAAUAAUAAAUAUAAUAAUAAUAAUAAUAAACCAAUUAAUUUAAUAGUAAAAAAAACUAUAGAUUAAUUUAGAACUAAAACAAAAUCUCAGGGACGAAUUUGAAACAAAUGUGUAAACGACCAAAUUAAGAAUUGUUUAACAUCAGAGGGACUAUUGCAGCAAUUAAACGCACAAAUCCUCUCUGGCGUACAGAUCAAUCCUUCCUAAGCGGCGUUGUUCUAUUAUGUAUUCAAUUGGAACCAAAACCAAAUAUAAUGUAUAAAUUAAAAUAAUGAUAAAAAAAUGAAUUAAAACUAUAUAAAAUACAGAAGGUCCUUUUGCUCAAAUGGACCAUUGAGACAAAGCGCGCAGAUCCUUCCCUCGGAUUGGGUCACUGCGCGGGUCUGAGCUCAUUACGACACCGUUUUGAGGUCACCUCAAUUAGCCUCAAACAACACCGUUUCUCAACGUAUAUAAAUGCCACAUUAAACCCUAAUUAGUAACUUUUAUCAUUUUUAAAACAAAAAUUAAAAAAAAGAACCCUAGGCCCUUUUCCUUCUGCCGCAAAACUAUUUCACCCCCUCUCAGACUUCGAUUUCGACGAAGCGAGUAAGGUCUGGCGUCCAGGUAAGCUUUCUAACCCAUUCUCUAUUACUGCGUUUGAAUAAAAAAGAGACGAAAUAAAAAAAAUAAAGAAAAGCAAAGAGUUUAUUCACCUUUCGAAUUUUUUUGUUUUCUCUGAUUUUUUUUUGUUUUUUUUUUGUAUUCAAUAUCCGUGUGUAAUCCUUUUACAGUUUCUGAGACGGCCUUUUAUAGCCGAAAACUAAAAAUAAAAAAUCAAUAAAAUUUACAGAAUUCUCUUUUUUUUUUCUAUCAUUUUUUGUUAUUUUCUUUGUUACUGCUUGUUGCUUGUUUAUUGCACAGGUGCGACCAGCCUGGAGGGAAUGCGCGUAGAUCUGGUGUGCGAGGAGUUGAAGGCGCGUGCAUGUGCUUGGAUGCUAGAUCUGCUGACUGUUGCGGCGCCAGAAGGAUCUAGAAACCCUAGGGGUUUUUGGAAAAAUUUGGGCCGUUUGGGCCAUUAUAGCUGGGUCAAAUUAGGUUAAUUUUGGGUAGUUUAGGUUAGAAUGACUUAGGUUAUGUAUUUGGUAUUUGUAAUUUAGGUUUUGGCUGAUUGGGCUGUGAGUUUGUAAAUGGACAUUUAUUUAAUUGAAUUUUUGGUUUAAUUUUAAUAUUUGUAAAAAACUAAGCUGUUAAUAGUGGAUAUUUUAAUUUAAUUUAUUUAAUUUUCUUUUUUUUGGUAUUUAUUGGGCCGGGCAAAAUGGGUUAUUACAAUAUUAAUCAUCUAAAAUAAAUGUGAGUUAAGUUGAAGUUUUAAGCUCAAUUCACGAGGAAUAAGCAACCAAUUAAUAUGAGUAAACAAGAAAAAAAAAUACUUUCAAGAGUUAAUUAUAUUUUUUUUAAAUUUUAGGAAUAUUUUAGAAUUUAAAUUAUAAUUUGAGGAUGUGUAUUGAAAUUAAUCCAAAAAAAAAAAAGAGAAUAACUUGGAGCAAACCCCAAUCUAGCAAUCUAGUGUGUGGUAAUAGAUGGCGCAAACUAUUGAGUGGCGAAGAAGCAUCCAUAAAUAGUAACCUCAAAGAUAAAUCAAGACUCAGGAAUUGCAAUCAAUCGACAUCUGCCACGUGUAUACAUGAUCCAACUUCAUUGUGUGGCCUUCAACGAAUGAGAAAAUUUUAAGACCAAAAAUGAAAAUUCCUUGAUUUUGGUACACAAAAAAAUCAUAAGCUUAUCCCCUAUAAAUGUUGCUCCCCCACCCACAGUGACUUAAGCUCCUCAAAGCCCACACUCUCAAAUUCAGUUAACAAUUUCACAGUUGUUUUCUUCAGUCUCUCUCUCAGCCAUGGCUGCAGCCAUCUCCACCGUCGCUGCCGCUGCCGCCGCCAACCGAGCUCUGGGAGUGUCAGUCCCAACCUCAGCUUUCAUGGGGAAGAAAGUGAGCUCAAGAUUCAACAGCACCAGGCAGGUUCCUUCGGGAAGUUUUAAGGUGAUGGCGGCUGAGAAAGAGAUAGACGAAGAGACACAGACCGAAAAGGACCGAUGGAAAGGGUUGGCUUACGAUAUUUCGGACGACCAACAGGACAUUACUCGAGGGAAAGGGAUGGUGGAUUCCUUGUUCCAAGCUCCCAUGAAUGAUGGAACUCACUAUGCUGUCAUGAGUUCCUAUGAAUACCUCAGCCAAGGUCUUAAAACGUAAGUACUCUCCCACUCUCCUAUACCGGAGCGUUAUCGAUUACCAUCUACCUCUUAUAUGAUGAUUAUAUAUAAUUUUAGGUACAAUUUGGACAACAACAUGGAUGGUUUCUACAUUGCUCCUGCAUUCAUGGACAAGCUUGUUGUUCACAUCACCAAGAACUUCAUGUCCCUCCCUAACAUUAAGGUUCCUCUAAUCUUGGGUAUUUGGGGAGGCAAAGGUCAAGGAAAAUCUUUCCAAUGUGAGCUUGUGUUUGCCAAGAUGGGUAUCAAGUGAGUUCCUGAUUUUCUUAUGUUACUCUUUUUUUUUUUGAAGUAUUCUUAUUUUCUCGGUAUUUAAAUUUAGAUACGAGUAAUGUUUCUUCAAAUACAUGAAAAAGAAUUACAUAUAUUAAAUUAAAUUUAUUGAAUUAUUUUGAUAAUUAUGUUGAGUUUGGAUAAAAAUUUUGUCGAUUUAAUAAGGGAAGUCAUAAAUAUUGUUCCUUUAAGAAAAACAAAUAUUUUUAUUUUAAUAUAGUUAUAAAUAUAUUAAAGUAAUUAUAUUUUUUAAUAUUGUUUACAAAUGAAUCUAUAUUAUAUAUUAAGUUUUUAAUUGAGAUGUCACGAAUUAAUCAAAUACCAACUCGAGUAAUAACUAAAAUAUUACUAGUUUACAAAAUGAAUUAUAUUAUUUUGAGGAUGUAUGUAUCCUUUCAUAUCUUUUAUAUAAAAAUAGAAAAAUAUGGAUUUAAAUUUAAAAUAUUAUAGUUUUCAAUAAAUUUGCUUAGGUCUAAUUUUGCUAUUAAACCUGACGUAAGUUGUGGAUUUAGUACAUGUACUUUAAUUUGGUUAUUUUUAGUCUUUUUAUUUUUAGGAUUUGAAAAUUUUAGUCAUAACUAAAUGAUAACUAUUAAAUUCAUUAAGUUAAAUUUUGUUAUUUUUAAAUUUUAAUUUGUCAAAUAUAUUAUCACAUGCGUAAUGUUAUGUUUAUUAUUUUCACAUAUUACUCACAAAAAAAAUCAAUUAAUAGAUUUAAUGGUUGUUGUCUGCAUUAAAUCUAAAAUUUUAAAUUUAAAAAAAUAUAGUCACUAAGAAUAAUCUAAUUGGUGAAUUGGACAAAAUUUUAGGCAUAAUACAGGACUAAUUAUAUAAUUUAACCAAAUAGAUUUAACUAUUGUUGUUGGGUUAGGAUUAAAAUUUUAAAACUUGAAAAGUAUAAUGGACUAAAAUUGAUCAAAUUAAAUUACAUGUAUUAAAUCCAUAAUUUAUACAAAAUACAAAGUCUAAUAACAAGAUUUGUCCAUUUUUCUUAUCAUUUCAUCUAAAAACUCGUUUAUCCUUUAUAUCAAUUUAUUAUAAAUAAAAUUAUUACAUAAAUGUGUUUUUAUUCAACAAAUAUGCUGUGAUAACUGAUAAAUUACAAACAAUGAAUAACUUCCAGCCCCAUCAUGAUGAGUGCCGGAGAACUGGAAAGUGGAAACGCCGGUGAACCAGCCAAGUUGAUCAGGCAAAGGUACCGUGAAGCUGCCGACAUAAUCAAAAAGGGCAAAAUGUGCGCCCUCUUCAUUAACGAUCUCGAUGCUGGUGCCGGUCGUAUGGGAGGAACCACCCAAUACACCGUCAACAACCAGAUGGUUAAUGCUACCCUCAUGAACAUCGCCGAUAACCCCACCAACGUCCAGCUCCCCGGUAUGUACAACAAGGAAGAGAACCCCCGUGUCCCCAUUAUCGUCACUGGUAACGAUUUCUCCACACUGUAUGCUCCUCUCAUCCGUGACGGUCGUAUGGAGAAAUUUUACUGGGCACCAACUAGGGACGACCGUGUCGGUGUUUGCAAAGGUAUUUUCAGGACCGACGGCAUCCCAGAUGAAGACAUUGUUAAGCUCGUCGACACCUUCCCCGGCCAAUCCAUCGGUAACUCUCAUUAAUUUUUUUCACUAGGUUUAAUUAUUCUUACAGUCCCUAUACGCUUCACAAUUUGAAAUUUAGUCCUCCACUACUUACUUGAAAAUAUGUUAUUACGUGGGUUCAUUGUUUUCAGUGGCGGAACUACGUUAGAGCCAGAGGAGAUCCUGGCCACCAAAAUUUUGAAUUUUUUUUAUUAAAUCCUUCAAAAAUUUUAAAAAUUUUAAUCAAGUUUUUCUUAAAGUUUUGAAAGUUUUAAAUAAACCCCAAAACUCAAUGACACGUUCUGUCACUGUUUCAAGUACGGAUCAUUCGAUUGAUAUAUUACGAUUAACAAUUGUUUUUCUUUUUGGAUUGAUAAAUUGUAGAUUUCUUCGGUGCCUUGAGGGCUCGGGUUUACGAUGACGAAGUGAGGAAAUGGAUCAGUGAUGUCGGAGUUGCAGGCGUAGGGAAGAAGUUAGUGAACUCAAGGGACGGACCUCCAACAUUUGAGCAACCGAAAAUGACCAUUGAAAAGCUAUUGGAAUAUGGAAACAUGCUUGUUGCUGAGCAAGAGAAUGUUAAGAGAGUCCAAUUGGCUGACAAAUACUUGAGUGAAGCUGCCCUUGGUGAAGCUAAUGAAGAUUCUAUCAACAGAGGAACUUUCUAUGGUUAGAUAGAUUACCCCCUUUCAUCUUUUCUCUUAAAUCAAAUUCGGGUUUUUUAAAAUCGACCCGAACUCGAAUUUCUUUUUACAAUUUGAUCCUAGUGACAAAGAAUGUUGUGUUUGUUGGCAGGCAAAGCAGCACAACAAGUUGGGGUUCCAGUUCCCGAAGGAUGCACUGAUCCAAAUGCUGAUAACUUUGAUCCAACGGCUAGAAGUGAUGAUGGAACUUGCACUUACCAAUUUUAACCUUGUAUUAUAGUAGUAUUGGGUUGAAAAAGAAAACCCUUUUUCUAUUUUAUGUAAUGAUGUGAGAUUGUUCCAAAACUAUCGUUUGCCUUUUGUUGUUCCAAUUAUAUGAUUUUGCUUUCUCAAUUCUUAAUAUUUUCUCUUUAUAUGAUUUUGCUCUUUUUUUCCUCAAUUCUUGUAUCUUCAAAUUUCACCUUUCCGGAUUUAAUUAAAGUUCUAUUAAAUCUUUCUUUACUAAAAAAAAAUGCAUGAUAUAUGUUAUAUUAAAAUAUAUUUAAUUUUGUUUUAACUUAAAUAGAGUGGUGGUUAAAGUUCUUAUCAAACACUUGUUUGGCACUAAUUCGAACGGUUUGUGUUACUCUUUUCCCGUACCCCUAUUGUAUCACCAAAAAUACUUAUUAUCUUAUACUUAAAAGUAGUUUAAUCUACUCUACAAGUUUUUGUUAACCACGCCAUUAUUAUUCAAUGCAUGUUUAAUGAUUUAGAUAAUUGGAUCUUUUAUGAUUAAACAAAUGAAAAGAGAAUCAAAAAGUGCUUAGAUAUCUUAUGAUUUCGAUAAAGCUUUUACGAUUUAUUAAGAUCCUCUUCUUAGUUGUAUCAAAGUUUGCUAUUAAACUAUUAGUAUGAUUAUGUUUUAGUACUCAACUUUAAAAAGUUACAAAAUAAUUAUUGAAUCAUUCGAAAUUUUUUAUUUAAGUCACUAGACUAUUAAAAUCGUUGUUGUAUAGUCUUCUCAAUUUACAACACCUAUUCUCUUCUAUAGUUCAGUUUAUUAAUGAAACAACUUUGAAUGUCACGAAUUUGCGAAUUGAAAUCCAAGCAACUUUUUUCUAUGAUCUUUAAUACUAACUGUCAGAUCUACCUCAAUCUAAGGUAUGUUCUUCUACUUAUUGAUUGGUACUGAUCUACCAUAUCGAUCGUUGAAUCGUUGCUUAAACUCAUUAGUCAAACUUUUUUUAUUAAAAAAAAGGUAAUAACUCAAUAACUUAAGUAAAAACUUUCAAAUAAUUCAUUAUUAUUUUGUAACUUUUUUUAAAAUUGAGUCAACAAAACAUAAAAUUCCUAAUAAUAAUAGAAUGGCAUUGGAUAUAAUUUAACUUAAAAAAAGUUUUUUUUUUAAAUGGUAAAACCGAAACCUCAGAUGGAGAUGAACAAGAAAAAGCCCAAAAAAGAAAUCUAUGGGCUCUACUGAAGAAAACCGUAAACCUAGCUCAAAUCCAUUAUAAAUACAUGAAAGUUCCCAUUAAUAAAUUUCUCAAUCGAAAAACCCUAAUCGCCUCCCUCAAAAAACCCCUUAUCUUCCCUUCUCAACAAUCCAAAAAAACAACAAAUCUCUGCAAUUUCAAAAGCCGUCCUUCUGUUAAAAUUCCCCUUAGAUUUCGUUUACGAAAGCUAAUUUUCCGAGGAUCCAAACAAAGGGCGGUGAUUAAAAGGAGAGAGGCUUGAGUGGGAUCAUUAAAAAAAGAAAAAAAUAUCGAAGAUGCCGCCUUCCUUCCAAGGCUUUGGUGUCUCGCUUUUUUUUUCUCUCUUUUUUUUCUGCCCAUUUCAAAUCUGGGUUUUUACCCCACAAUGACUUGAAAAUCCUAAAUUUACACUUGAUAUGAGCCCUAAUUUGUUUUCUUUUUGUAAUUUUUUAUAAUAUAUUUGCAUUUGUUGUAUUUUUAGGAAAUAAAGCAAUUAUUUUUAAGGCUUUGUUUCUUCAACAACAGUGCAGAAAUUAAAGGUUUAAUUUUUUUUAUAUUUCUUUUUUGAAAAGAAAAGAAAGAAGAGAAAUUAAGCAGCGGCCAGACAACCGUAGGGAUGGUAUCCACAGAUGAAGGGUUUUUAAUCCCUUUUUGUCUACUGAUUCCAUCUCACAUUUCUGUUUUUAAUUGUUUGUUUUAUAUUUUAUAUUGAUUAUGUUUUUAUACAAAUUUUACAAAAGAAAAUUUGUAUAAUCUUACAUCCUCUUAUUAAUGUGAGAUUUUUAAAAAAAUAAUUUUGCUUUUAUUUUUGUUCAUUUUAUUCAAACGAUAAUGAAAUAAUAAUUAAUGAAUCAAAAUUCAGAAGAAAAAUUAACCUCUUUGUCUAUUAUGUUACAUUUUUCCAUUAGAUUUUGUCCAAAAUGUCACUUUUAUAAUAAUUUUAUUGUUCAUUUUAUUAUCAUUUACGUCAAUUUCAGGAUUUUUUAUAAAAUUAUUAUAAAAAAAUAAAAAAAAAUAACUAAAACUUUUUUAUUUAUCAAAAUAUUAUAAAUUUUUUUAUUUACCAAAAUAUAUCAAAAAAACAAAAAAAAACUGACAACAGUCUGAUCAGUCCAAAGAGAUUGGCGGCACCAAAGGUGCGCCAAAGAGAUUGGUGGCAUCAAUAGUGUCAAAUGACUAAAAUGUAACUUUCUGUAAUUUUAAGGACCUGACAUGUAAAUUUAUUAUUUUAAAUUUUGAAAGUGAAUUGUUGCUGAUGUACGCACUAAAAUUGAAAUAUGGCUAAUUGUCUUCUAAGCUCUCUUUAUUUAUUAUUAUUUAUUAUUCUCCUCCAACUCAUUUUUUAUUUAAUAAACAAGUCCUCAAUUUAUUUUUGUAAUUAAAUAAGCUCUUAAUCUAUGAUUUUUAUUCAUAAAAGCCAUUUAUUUUAUUAUUAAAAUAAAUAUAUUUUACCUAAAGUAAAGCUAUUUAAAAAAGUAUAAACUAAUUCGCAUUUUAUGUAUUAUUUUGGUAAUUUGAUAAGAAUAGUUUAUUUAAAAAAUUUACUAAAUUUGAUGAGAAUAGUUUAUAAUUAUAAUUUAUUUUUUCUAUUUGGAUUAUAUUUAUAGGUGAUCAGUUUUAUUAUUACUUCUGGUUUUUCAAUAAAGCAUGCUUGGUAUUUCUAUUAAUCUUUUUAAUUAAAUUUAAUAUUAGUUAAGUGAUAAUUAAGAUACUUAGAAUUCUAAUUAGCUAUUCUCAUUUAAUAACUCUAUUUUAAUUUUAAAAAAUUAAAUUAAAUUAAAAUAGUUUACUUAAUUUUAUUAAAUUAAAAUAGAGUUAUUAAAUGAGAAUAGUUUAUUAAAUUAAAAUAGAGUUAUUAAUGCCUACGAGGACGCGAUUUGCUGACACGUCCCCUAACAUCGCGCUGACAUGGACGCAAUUUCGGGAAAAAUGGCUCAUUCCGGUAAAUAAUAAAAUAUCAGACCCAUUUCGGUAAAUUUUAAAAAAAUAGGGCUUUUUUUUGGUAUUUUACCCAAAAUUUUUAACUAGUUAAUUUAUAUAAAAAUGUAAUUGUUUAAUAAAUAUAUAAUAUUUAGAUUAAUAUGUUAAAAAUAUUAGAUUGGUUUGAAUAUUUAUUUGCAUGGUAAUUAUAAUUAUAUCAAUAAGUUUGAUGCUUAAAUUGUUAAAAAUAUAGUAUUUUAAUUUUACAUUCAUAUGAAUAAGAUCCUGAAAAAAAAAAGAACUUACUCUUUAGUAAAUAAAUAAAUAUUUCUUAUUUCUUUUAUUUGUCAUUUUAAUGAAAGAAAAAACCUUUGGGUACGUUUGGUUUACUGUAAUGGAAUAGGGCUGUAAUGGAAUAGAGCUCUAAUCAGUAAUUCAAUUGUUUGGUUGAAUGGAAUGAAAUAGAGUUGUAAUAGUAUUCUUGUGUUUGGUUGAAUGGAAUGGUGUUGUAAUAGCAUAAAAAAAAACUAAAAUGACUAGAAUACCCUUAACAGAAUUUUUUUUAAGUAAAUGAUUAUUAUUAGUGUUAUUAAAUUUUAAUAAGAUUAUUAUUAAAAAUAAUUUAAUAAAAAUAAUAAAUAAUUUAAGCAUAUUUAAACAUAAUUAUUAUUAAAUAUAAUUUAAUAAAAUAAUAUAUAAUUUAAUAAAAUUCUUAAUAUAAUUAUUAUAUGAAUUUACUAAAAUCAUAAUAUAUAAUACUAUAAAAAUAGUAUAUAAUCUACUUUAUUAUUUUUAAACUACAAUACAUAUUUAAUGUGCUAAAAUAUCAUUAGCGAAACAAAUAAUUUAAUUAUUCUACAAUAAAAAACAAAAUAUUAAAAGUAAUAAAUAACUUGAGAAUCAUAUUUUACAUCCAAACAUAAUAUUCAUAUAUUAACAAAAAGUUAAAUGAUUUUAUUAGUUUAUAUGUCAUAAUCCAUAUGUUAUAAAAUUUUACAACACUAGAUUACCUUCAUGUCAAAGCAUUGACUGGAUGAGGUUUCAACUGCCCACCAUGUAUAUAUUGUUCUUUUCAUACAUCUAGCUCAUCUUUACAGAAAUUGUACGAUAGGAUACCUAAAGUUAAUUAGAAAAUGGUGUCAUCACCACCACCGCCAUCAAGAGUAGUUAGAUUUGUCGUAGUGCCCCCUAGUGCUUCUGCUAGUGACACCCUUUUGUUGACAAUAAGAUCAUUUCCAUCUCUUUUGUAAAGAUUAUAGGGCUUCUCAUCAAUUACAAAUACAAGGUCUGCUGGAAGCUGAUUUUGCUACUUACUUCCUUUAUUUGGGAAAAUAAUUUUUGUUCCUUUCUUCCACCCUGGCUUCACAUCAAUGGUUAAUAUUUCCGAUUCCUGUGCUUGCCCCCUGUAAGGAUCCAAAGUAUUGUCCCAUCAGCAAGAUCAAAAAUAUAAAGCUACCAAUAAUGAUGCCAUCAUCACAACAGUGUAAUUAAGGUGAGAAUAUCUCAGUUGAGUUCAUAGUUUUCAGCAUGAAAACAAUAUGCAAGCAUAGAAAACACAAUAUCAAAUAUGGUGUUAGUUACCUGAGAAAUGUUUUUGUGGUUUAAACUGACAACUGAAAAUACAAGAAGUUUAGAACUUGCUCUCCGUUUUCAGCACCUAUCAUGCAAUUAGAAUCAGGAACCUUGCAACCAUGUUAUCUCGGAUAUGGAUAUAUUUUCGGCAGAGGUAUUUCAUAUAUAUGGAGGGUAAUAUAUAUUCCCAUAUUCAUGUCUGAAUUAGAUGUCGGACACAAAUGUUUUAAGAAAUAUGAAAAGUUCAAGCAACAUAGAAUGUAACAAAUAUACAACAUGUAAGGAAUCGUUUUUAGAAUUUUAAGGAAUUCCUCGUAAAAUGACUUAAUCUAAACCAUAGACCAGAGCGGCUUUUAUUUUUAAUUACAUGAAUGAAUAAAAGUGUUAUUGAGACUAAGAAAUGUGUUGAGAGUUAGGCAUAAUUUACAAGGAGGCCUUAUAGAGUUAGACAAUCAAGCACAUCUUAUCCAGCGUUCAAGAAGUGGAGAUGCAACCAUAUUGACUUACCUCAACUAACCAGUCAACCAAAAUUCCCCAACAACCAAUCAGCAUUCGGCGGAGAGGAGAGGGAAUAGAAAUGCUCAUUAAGGAAACAAUCAAUUAAAAAAGAAGAAGAACAUGAUAAAAAUGUAUAGAAGAGAAACGUUAAAAAGAAGGAAAAAUCAAAUAAAGAAAAAAUGCCAUUACCUGAAAUAUGGGAACAAAAGAGAGAAAGUUACAGAUCUGUGGGAUAAGAUGAAAGAGAAUAUCUGAAAUAUGGCAAGAGAGUUUGAGGGCAGAAAUUAUGUAGAGAGUUUGACAGCAGAUGAAGGGAAAAAAUUGGAAAAUGGGAAAAAAAGAACCGAACGAAAUAGCUAUUCAGGUAUGUGAGCAAUGAAUGGUUAUUACAGCCUUUAGUUGUAAUAAGGCCUGAAUGGAAUCGGGUUGUAAUCCUUUUACAGCCAACCAAACGUUGGUUUGCUAGUGGGCCCACCGAAAUGGGGGAAUGCAUUCUUAUUCCCCCAACCAAACAUGCUGUUAGAUGCUUAAUGCUUCUCUCUAAUUUUAAUUUGUUUAUUGAAUGAAUUUAUAUUUCAGUUGUUUAACUUUAGAAGUUUAUAAAUUGUGAAUUAUUUAAAAAUUUUUAUUUAAGUCAGUGAAUUAUUUUAAAGUUUUUAUUUGAGUCGUUGAGUUAUUUUAAAGUUUUUACUGGAGUCAUUGAGUUGUUGAGUUUUUUUUUUAAAGUUUGAUUAAUAUGAUAAAUCUAUCAAUAAGUAGAAGAAUAUGUAUAAAAUUCAAGUCAAUAUACAGUAGUGAUUUUAACAAUUAAAUGAUUUAAAUAAAAAUUUUAGAAUAGUGUAAUAAUCAUUUUAUAAUUUUUUAAAAUUGAACAACUAAAGCAUAAAUUUAUUAUCAAUUUAAUGACCUUAGUGUAAUUUACCUUAUUUAUUUGACAAAAUCGGGUUUUUUACCUAAAUAAUAUUAAAAAUAUAUAUAUACUAAAAUGGCAUGUUCUAAAAAUUAUGUACCAAAAUGGUAUAUUUAAAAGGGUGGAGGGUGGUGCAUAAGCAGCACCGCCCUAAUAUUAAAAUAGUAACAAUAUUUUAGUAGUGGUGCCUAUCUGAUAGACGACACCCUUAUCUGAUAGGUGGUAUACCUAACAUUUUUCCCCAUUUGGCUCAAUUUUAAAGUAUCAGUUUAAAAAAAUAUAUCUUUUACCUCCAUAAAAAAAUUUAUAUUAAAAUAAUAAAAAAAUGACAAGAAAAAAUAUAACAAAAAAUAUAACGUAAACGAUACAUAAUAAAUACAAAUAUUAUUAUUAUUUUAAAAUGAUAAUAAGUAAAAUGUAUUGGUUUAAAAUAUAAUAGGGUUUUUUUAUACCUAAAUAAUAUUAAAAAUAUAUAUACUGAAAUGAUAUGUUUCAAAAAUUAUGUACCAAAAUGGUACAUUCAAAGGGGUAGAUGGUGGUGCAUAGGCGGCACCGCCUUGAUAUUCUGACAUAAUUUAGUUAAAAAAUAAUAAUAUUUUAGUAGUGGUGCCUAUCUGAUAGGCGGCACUUGUGGUGCCUAUCUGAUAGGCGAUACACUUAGUAUUUUCCCCAUCCGGCUCAAGUUUAAAGUAUCAGUUUAAAAAAUAUAUAUUUUACCUCCAUAAAAAAUAAAAAAUAAAUAUUAAAAUAAUAAAAAUAACAUGGCAAUAAAAAAAUAUAACAAAAACAUAACAUAAACGAUACAUAAUAAAUACGAGUAUUAUUAUUAUUUUAAAAUGAUAAUAAGUAAAAUGUAUUGGUUUAAAAUAUAAUAUAUAUAAUAACAUGCCAACUUAAUUAUUGUCAAAAAAUAUAAAUUUUUUUUCAUAAAACUUCAAAAGAAACUUCAUUUAUAAUAUUUAUAAAAAACAUAAAAUAAAAUUUAAAAACAUAAACUCUUAUUCUUAAUUAUAAAAUCUAAAAAAAUUAGAACAUAUAAACUAAUUCCUAAUUUAUGUCAUAAAUUUCAAAUUCUAUAUCAAUGGUCUCAUCUUUUACCUAUAUAAAAAAAAUAAAAAAAAUUAAAAUUAAAAUAAUCAAAAUAACAUGCCAAAUAAAUUACAUAAAAAAUAAAUCUAAUCAACCUAAAACACACAUAACAAAUAAAUUACAUAAAAAAAAAUAAAACAUUCUUUGUACAUAACAUAAAUAAGCUUUUUUACUUCAAUCAACAUUAAAAAUAAAUUGAGUCGGAUGGGGAGUGGGGAGGGAAAUGCUAGGUGUGCUGCCUAUCAGGUAGGCACCACCAGUGCCGCCUAUCAGAUAAUCACCAUACCCCGUAUUUUUAACUAAAUUAUGUCAUAAUAUCAUGGUGGUGCUUACCAUUUUAGUAUAUAAUUUUUAGAAGAUACCAUUUCAAUAUAUAUAUUUAAUAUUAUUUAGGUAAAAAAUCCAACAAAGCAGGUAUGAAAUUAAUUUACUAAAAGAAAAUACAUUCAUGUAAAAUAAAAUGCCACAAGCUUUCAAUCUUUGUGUAUUAAAGAAUUAAAAAAAACCAAAUUAGUAAAAAGAGCUUUUCAAUCUCUUUUAAAAUCGAAAUUAAACAUACCUUUCAAGAAAAUUAAAAUAAUUUAAUCUUGAUAAAUUUAAAUGUAAGUAAAUAAAGACAAAUAAUUUAAUCUGAAAUAAAUUUAAAUUUAAGUAAAUAAAGACAAUAAAUAACGACAGUGACAUUUUCCAUCCAAAAAUCCUCCGUGGCAAAAGAGAAAAAAAAGAAAAAAAAAAGCUUUAUUUUCACAUGUUAAAUUAUUAUAACAUAAUUACAUAAAAUACCAUUAAAGUUAGGAGUUUUUAAUUUUGUGCCUUUGAUUUUUUUGGCUAUUUUACCUAUCCAAUCCAAAAAAAUUUAAUAUUUAUAAAAAUGACCCUAGUUCAAAAACAUUCAUCAAAAUGACCUGAAAUGAAAAGUAGAUUUGGGUUUUAGGAACCCAAUGGCCGACACUACCUAGUGUAAAUGGCUGAGAAAAUUUUUUAUUAAGAGAGCCAUCAAAAUGAAAGUAUUUUUUAGUAUAUCAUCAAAUGAGUUUUUCGUAGUGUACAACCGAAUUUCAGGGUUAAAAUAUAUAUUAUCACGUUUUAACGGAGUUGAAUUAUAUACUGUCAUAACCACCCCAAAGGUUAUGCCAUUAAGAGUUGAAUGACUUUCUGCGCCAUAGAUGGCUAACCGAGAUGUCCAACACAGAUGAACAUUAUCUAUGGUGUAAUAGCUUUUAUUCCACAACUUAUAAGUGGGGUACUAAUGCAACGUAGACCUAAUUCAAGUAGAAGACAACUAAUCGUGAAGAAACUUCUAUUCAAAAUAAUAGUAUUAUUUCUUUAGAAUGUUUGUAUUUUUUUAUAUCUAUAAAUUUAAUGUAGUUGUUUAGAAUUUAAGGUUUCAUUUUUAUAUUUUCGUGUAUUAAUUUCUUAGAAUGUUUGUAUUUUUUUUAUAUCUAUAAAUUUAAUGUAGUUGUUUAGUAUUUAAGGUUUCAUUUUUAUAUUUUCGUGUAUUAAUUUCUUUAAAUGUUUGUAUUUUUUUUGUAUUUGUAAAUUUAAUUUAAUUCGUAUUAUAUGUAGUUUGAAUUUAAAAUUUUUAUGUAUUAAUUUUACCAUCCGUUUGUAGUGUUGGGUGUUUAAAUUUAAUUUAGUACGUAUUAUUUUUGUUUGAAUUUUAUAUUUUUUGUAUUAAUAUUGUAGGAUGUUUAUAUUUUAUUGUGUCUGUAAAUUUAAUUUGUAAUGUACUAUUACUUAUUCGAAUUAUAUAUUUUUUUAUUAAAUAUUUUGAAGUCAUUUAUUCAAACAAAUAAUUAUUCUAGAGAAAUUAAAUUAAUAUUAAAAACAGAAUAAUUACAAAAUAAAACAAAUAUUUACAUAUAAAAAUUAAAAUUGUCGUGAUCUCGGCCAACACCAAAAUAAAGUAAAUAUCUACUGGCCAACACCAAUUUUUUUUAUUAAAUGUACUUGGUGCCAGCUAUUACAUGGUCAGCACCUAAAUAUAUAUAUAAAAUACACUGGUGUCGGCCAUCAAUGCUCCAAAAAAAUACAUUGGGAGUCGAAAUUGUAAAUUUUUUUAAAUACAUUGGUGCUGGUCAUUAGUGUCCCAAAGUAAAAAAAGUGUCUUGGUAAGCGAAAAUUGUACCUGGUGCCGACUAUCUACUGGCCAGCAUCAAAUUUUUUUAAAUACUGAUAUUUUUGUAUACCAAUAUAAUACGAUUUAAAAAAAAUACCCUGGUGCCGGCCAUUAGGUUCCCAAACUUAAAAAAACAAUUUUUUUAAAGCCUAACACAAUCAUCAAGCAAUCAUGGGGCCAAAACACUCGGCAGUGCCGGCCAUUGGAUUCUCAAAACUCAAAUCUACUGUUUAUUUUAGAUCAUUUUGGUGAAUGUUUUUGAACCAGAGUUAUUUUUAUAAAUAUUAAAUUUUUUUGGGUUAGAUGGGUAAAAUGAUCGAUUUUUUUUCAUUUACGUUCUUUAACGUUAUAAUUUUUUAGCUAUUUUACUCAUCUAACCCAAAAAAAUUUAAUAAUUAUAAAAAUGAUCCUGGUUCAAAAACAUUCACCAAAAUGACCUUAAAUGAACAAUAAAUUUGGGUUUUGGGAAUUUAAUGGCCGGCACUACCUAGUGUUUUGGCCCCAUGAUUGCUAGAUGAUUAUGUCAGGCUUUAAAUUUUCUUUUUUGAGUUUGGGAACCCAAUAGUCGGCACUAGGGUAUUUUUUUUAAAAUCGUAUCAUACUGGUAUACAAAAUACCAACAUUUAAAAAAACAUUUUGGUUCUGGCCACGUAAUGGCCUAUACCAGACACAUUAAAUUUUUUUCUUUUUUGGUGUUGGCCAGUAAAUAGGCGGCACCAAGUACAAUUUUUACUGCCCAAGACACUUUUUUUUUUUACUUUGGGACACUGAUGGUCGGCACUAGUGUAUUUUAAAAAAAAUUUGGAUGUUGGCAAUGUAAUGACCGACACCAAGUACAAUUUCGGCUCCCAAUGCAUUUUUUUUGGAACAUUGAUGGCCGGCACUAGUGUAUUUAAAAAAAAAAUUUGGUGCUGGCAGAGAUCAGGACAAUUUUAAUUUUUAUCUGUAAAUAUUUACUUCAUUUUGUAAUUAUUCUAUUUUUAAUAUUAAUUUAAUUUCUCUAAAAUAAUUAUUUGCUUGAAUAAACGACUUCAAAAUAUUUAAUAAAAAAUAUAUAAUUCGAAUAAGAAUAGUAUACGACAAAUUAAAUUUACAGACACAAUAAAAUACAAACCUUCUACAAUAUUAAUACAAAAAAAUAUAAAAUUCAAACAAAAAUUGUACGCACUAAACUAAAUUUAAACAACCAACAAACUACAAACAGAUGAGCAAAAUUAAUAUAUGGAAAUUUAAAAUUCAAACUACAUAUAAUACAGAUUAAAUUAAAUUUACAGAUACAAAAAAUACAAACAUUCUAAAAAAUUAAUACAUGAAAAUAUAAAAAUGAAACAUUAAAUCCUAAACAACUAUAUUAAAUUUACAGAUAUAAAAAAAAAUACAAACAUUCUAAAGAUAUAAUACAAUUAUUUUGAAUAGUAGUUUCUUCACAAUUAGUUGUCUUCUGCUUGAAUCAGGUCUACGUUGCAUCAGUACCCCACUUAUAAGUUGCGAAAUAAACGCUAUUGUACCAUAGAUAAUGUCCAUCUGCAUUGGACAUCUCGAUUAGCCAUCUAUGGCGCAGACAGUCAUCAAACUCUUAAUGGCAUAACCUUUCGGAUGGAUAUGAUAGUAUAUAAUUCAACUCCGUUAAAACGUGACAAUAUAUAAUUCAAUCUCGAAAUUCGGUUGUACACUACGAAAAACUCCCAUCUACAAUCCACUACAAAUAACUCAAUUGAUGAUAUACUAAAAAACACUCUUAUUUUGAUGGCUUUCUCAAAAAAAGAUUCUAAUCCAUUUACACUAUUAGAACCCAAACCACCCACUAUAUAUAGGGUUUGGUGCCGACCAUCUGUGUUCCAAAAUAAAAAAAAAGAAUUUUUUUAAUGUGAUAAAGUUGGUGUCGGUCAUCGCUAUCCCAAAACCAAAGAAAAAUUUUUUUGGGGACCUAAAAAAAGUGGUGCCGGCCAUCAGUGUCCUAAAAUAAAAUAAAAAUUUGUAUUGGGAGGCAAAAAAUGUACUUGCCCAAUUUUUUUUAGGGUAAAUUACAAAAAUAGUCACUUUUGUUUGUCUCAGACUACAUUUCAGUCACUUAUGUUUGAAUUGUUACGUUUUAGUCACUUACGUUACUGUUUUGUUACAAAGUGAUCACUCUAUCGUUAAGCUCCGUUACCUCCCUAAAGGCGGUCCUACGUGGCAGUCAAAAUGGGUUUUAAUUGUCAACUUGGAUGUCCUACGUAACAGUCCAAAUUGAAUUUUAUUUAAUUAAAAAUAUAUUUUCAUCCCAACAACUAGACAUCCAAGUUGGCAUUUAAAACCCAUUUGGACUGCCACAUAGGACUUCCGUUAGGGAGGUAACGAAUUUUAAUAGUAGUGUGACCGCUUCGUAACAAAACGAUAACAUAAGUGACUAAAAUGUAACAUUUUAAACAUAAGUGACUAAAAUGUAAUUUGAGGUAAAUAAAAGUGACUAUUUUUGUAGUUUACCCUUUUUUAAAUACACUAGAGCCGACCAUUAUUUUUAUAAAAGAAAUUCAUUGGGAGUCGAAAAUUGUACUAUAAUGGCCAACACUAAAUUUUUUUUUAAAAUACACUGGUGCCAGCCAUCAGUGUUCAAAAAAAAUGCACUGGGAGUCGAAAUUGUACUUAGUGCAGGUAAUUACAUGGCCAACACCCAAAUUUUUUUUUAAAAUACGCUAGUGCCAGCCAUCAGUAUCCAAAGUAAAAAAAAGUGUAUUGGGAAGCGAAAAUUAGACCUAGUGCCAGCCAUCUACUAGCCAACACGAAUUUUAUGUGUCUGGUGUCGGCCAUUACGUGGUCAGAACCAAUUUUUUUAAAGUCUGACACAAUCAUCAGACAAUUGUAGGACUAAAGCACUAGGUAGUGCUAAUUAUUGGGUUCCUAAAACCUAAAUUUACUGUUUAUUUCAAGUUAUUUUAGCGAAUAUUUUUAAACUACUUAAAAUAGCAGAAACUCUGCUCGUACAAGCAAAUUUUUUAAUAUCAGGAUUUGAUCCAGGCUCUUGUCCCCCGAAUUGAUUGCUAGGGAAAGCUAGAAUCUCAAAUAUUGUGAUAGAGUUUUUUCAACAAAUCUUACAAAAACAUGAUGACAUUAUUAAGGAACAAAAUAUCAAGGUAAGAAUGCUUAAUGUAAUAUUCCCCAAGCUUUUACCUUUACUGUGUAGUCGUAUAGUGUUUUAUCUCCGUAGCUGCUCUUGCAUGAAUGCCUGAAGAUGAGUUAAAGACAAACCCAAAAGCAGUAAGCGAUGGCAAGGAGAACCCAUGUUGGAAAAAGGCUGAUUUUGAAGACCCAAGCGAGGGUUGAUGGAAGGGAUUGAAAAAGACAUGGAAGGCUAUGAUGAAGAAAAAAUUGGGUUCUUUUUUGCUUGGGAAAAAUCAAGAAGAGGAGACAGAAUAGUUGCAGAGAAAGGCAUGGAAGCCAUAGUUUCGUUUUUUGUCUCCUUUGUGUCUGUCUAAUUGUCUAAAAUGAUGGAGGUGGAGGUGAUGGCAUUGCUAGGUCGAAACCCGGUUGGAAGAGAGGUGGGGUGGUUGUGGAAGUGGCAGAAGCAGCAAUGGUGGAGAAACAGAAAUUUUUUUAUUUUGUGUUAUAGCAGUAACGGGAAGAGGAGGGGGAUGAAGAAAGAAUAUGAAACAAAAUGAAAAGAAAAUUGAAGUCAUAGAUGUAACAUAGGCUUACAUCAUUGAUCGGUGUUUAAUUAGCGGUUAACUCACGUUAAAAUUGGGUUGAUUUCUAAAAAAAAUCAAUAGCACAAAACCAAAAAUCUAUAAAGCAAUAGGUUUAUCUCUCUGAAUAUUAUCAGUCUGUAAAGAAGAAAUAUCAGUAUCAAAAAUAGGCAAAAGAAACGUGGGAGAGACCUCGAGAUAAGGUCACUCUUACGAGCUCGUGAGCCGUCUUAACCAUUCGUUUAGUCCACCAAAAGGAGUCAAACAGUCUUGAAGAACAAGCCUAAAUUCAGAUAAGUCAUGCCGUGAAGAGUUAUACGCGUCUAUAACAUCCCCACAAUCCGAUUCGAAAAUUACCUUUCCAAAAUUUAGUGUUUUCAACCAAGAGAGAGUCAUUCAUAUGGCCAUCAAUUCAGCCAUUUGUACCUCCCAAACAGUAAGGGCCAUUCCUAAACAACCUCGGAUAAAAGACCCAGUAUGAUCUCGAACAAUAGCUGCAAAAGAACCGCUCGAUGUAGAAGAAAUGACGGUGUCAACGCUGCACUUUACCCAACCAUCAGCCGGCUUCUCCCAAGUGACUCGACUAUUGCUCCCUCCCGACGGAACGCACUGCACCCUGGAGAAAACAGUCGGAGCAUCUUGCCACUCAUUCAAAAACCUGUCAGCCUGGUCGACAAUCACAGCUACUGGCGCAUCUGUUUGCUUCCAAACGAACAGGUUUCUAUGAAACCAUAGACACCAGGCUAGCGUCAGAAUUCUGCACUAAAUUAGUAGAAACCUGAAAAGUAGACAGCUGAAUUUUGAAAUCUGAAAAAGUAGAGAGAUUAAUUUCCUAGAAAUAAAAGUAUAGGGGUUAAAUUAUAAAUUUACAAAAUUACAGUGACUUAUGGAAAAAUUUAUCCUUUUUAUCUUAUCCGAUUUAUAAUCGACAGCCACGUGGUAAUUCCUCCUUUCUAGUUUUCUGACAAUGGGAAACUAUGGGUUUAAUUACCUCCAACUGCCGGUGAACCAAUCUCUAAUCCACCGGCUCAACCGGUUUAUUGGUCAAUAACUAUGGGUUUAAGCCUUUUAUUUUGUAAUGGCGGUUUUUUUAAUUUCUUUUAAGCUUUGAAGGGUUUUUGUAAAAAACUCCUUCGUUUCAAAUUACAACAACUUAACCAAAAGAAAAAUCUGAUAUUUGUUUCAGCUGAAUUUUCAUUAAAAAUAUUGCAUUUUUAAUUGUUUUCUUUGUGUAUAUGCGUGUGUGUAUAUAUAUUGGGAUUUAAGAACUGAAGAUCCUUUCAAUUCAAAAGGUGAGUUCUUGAACCUUUUUACUUGAAUUAUAAGGUAUCUUCCUUUUUUAUGGUUUACUAUUUGGAGUUUUUUAAAUUUCCCGUUGAAUUACGCCAAAUUGUGAGUAAAUUUGGGCUUUACGUGAUUAAAUUUCGAAUCGAAUUAUAAUUUGGAUCGAGAUCUGAGCUUCUUUUUUCGCUUCGAAAAUGUUAAUCGUGCCAAAGUUGGAAUUUCGGUUCAACUUUAAGUUUUAUGGGAUUUUUUUAGUUUCCACUAAUUAUUUUUAAAAAAAAAACAAAGAGAAUAAGAAUUUAACCAUUUUUUUUGCUUUGUUUAAUUGUAUAAUUUCUUGUUUAAGUUCAAGAUUUUCAAUCAAUUCUAAUUUAAAUUUCACAGUGGAAAUUUUAAUUUUAACAGAAAAUUGAAUUUGAUCAAAGCUAAGCAACUGUAUUCUUCUCUUAAUAUACCAUUUUGGGAUCCGUAAAUUUGAUAUGUUCAUUUUAACAAAAUUCUGGCCGUUGAAUUUCCUUGUUUUUUUCAGUGAUCAAGCAAAAUUAAUUUGGGUUAUAUACACAGAUAUAAUAUAUAUAUUAAGGUUUGUUGUGGUUAUCUUUGUUAUUAUUCUGAUAUAUGAGCUACUCUAUUUUUGGAUUGGUUUAUGUGCAGAGAAUUUGAGUCUGGAAUAUUUUCUUUUUGUUGAUGGAUUUAAUUACCUUAACAUGCCUGUGAUAUGGUGUUUAAGAAGAGGUUAGAUUAUGGAUUCAAUGCCUUCAAUGUCCACGAUGUACCCCGAGCCCCUCGAUCGAUGCGGGUAUGUUUCAUUUUUUGUAAUUGUCCUUUAAGGUUCUGUUUGAUCCUGUUGAUGUGCUAACUCGAUCUAUAAAAUACAAUCCAUUUGGGUAUGUUUUGUUCUAUUGUUCCUCGUCUUUUAAGGUUGCAUGUUGAACUUGUGCUAGUUUUGAUCUCCAACUUGAUGAUAAAACUAUGGUCCUCGAUUGAUUUGAGUAUGUUUCGAUUUUUUUACAUUGUCUUUUAAGGUUGGCUGUUGAUCUUGUACUAGUUUUUGAUCAUGUUGAUGUUCUAAUUUGAUGUAUAAAACUAUGGUCAUUGUUGAUUACAGAGGAGGAGUCAAAGUAAGUGGACAGUUCAGGAAAGUCAGUUUUGCGCAUUUGAAAUGUUAGCUUCUCUAGCUGGGAAGCUACUGCAGGAGAGUGAAAGUUCUGCUUCGAGCAAUGCUUCAGAAGGACAUGAAUGUGAUUCUAUAGGUAAAAAAUGUUUUAAACAGGAAAUCCAGUACGAUGAUAAGCCUUUGAAACCCAAAUGUUUUGAGCAAGGAAGGUGUGAAGCAAGCGUUGCUGCCUCAGAGUUGACUACUGAAAAUGGUGAUGAUUCGAAGGACUUUAGAUGUGCUGAAAAUAAUGCCAUCUUGGAAUGCACUUUGACAAAGACGGAUCCUGCUUGCUCAGAGGAAAUCAAUGGCGAUUUAAAGUAUGGGAGUUUUCUGGGUAAUGUAGAUGACCAUUCCCCUUAUUUUGGGGAGUCGUAUAAUGGUAAAACUGAGAAUGCAUUUAAACAAGAGCAAGAUCCUACGGGUUUGGAUACUCAGGCUCUAAAUAUUGCUAAUAAUGGCCCCUCAAAGGAUCCCGUUAAGUUUGAUAGAGUUGUCAAAUUGCUAUCAUGUCGGGACCCUGUUCCUAGUGUUCCAUUUACAAGACGUAGGAAUGAUAUUAAGUUAGGCAGUAGAGAUGAUGAAGAAAACUUUUCUAGGUUUAAGAGACUUAGCAAGAGGUUUAAGGCUUCUAGACCUCCAACACGUACCGGAGACCGAAGAAUAAGGAAGUUGCUGACAUCCAAAUACUGGAAAGUUGCUACAAAGUUGAAGGAUUUUGAACAUUCUAGAUUUGGUGAGUGGUUCCAAUAGUUUUAGCAUUCAUAGCAUGUCACCCUUUAUGUGUCUGCUUCUAACCAAAGUCCUUGUGCAUCUUAUUUUGAAGUACCAAGUUAUUUCUUGCUGAUUUUUGUUUUUCAUAUAUUUCAAGGAGGAAAAAGGCCUCUGUAUCGCAAGUGGAAGACAUACUACAACUACCACAGAUAUCAAUAUGACACGCUUUAUAAACAGAGGAAGAUCUUUGACCGUAAAAGCAUUACUAGUUCUCCUGAGAAGGAUAUGAAUGGUGAUAAGUGUAGCACAGCUGCAAUGUCAGAUAGAGGUGCUUCGCCAUUGCAAUUGUCUUUAUAGCACUUAAUAGUUUACAGAUUUCUGGAUUGGGAUGUAACUAGUCUUUCAAAACUAUUUUAUUCUGCUUUGUAGCCUGUGGGAUAUCAUCCGUGUUUACAGGUCAUCACUCAUCAAGCAUCCUACCAGCUCAAGGAUUCUUGUGGUGCAGAUGGUUUUUGAUAGACUGUUGCAUGUUACUUGCAUAUAUUUUUUGCUCUGGUUUUGGGGAAUGUCUUAUUUGGAUUUGUUCUCUGGUACAGUGAAAUUUAGCAUCAAGUCCUUUAGGAUUCCAGAACUUUACAUCGAGGUGCCCGAAACUGCAACUGUUGGUUCACUGAAGGUAUAUAAAUGCUGUGUUUUUAUUGUGCAUCGGUUAAUAUAAUUAUUUAAUUAGUCCAUAUAUUCUAACUUUUACCAUUGAUGUUAUGUAAAUGUGAAUAGAGGACCGUAAUGGAGGCAGUGACAGCCUUAAUUGGGGGUGGAAUACGUGUCGGGCUACUCCUUCAAGGGAAAAAGGUGAGAGAUGACAGCAGAACUCUAUCACAGGCUGGUAUUUCCUGUGAUGAUAAUCUGGAUGCUCUCGGUUUCACUUUGGAGCCUGGUCCUGCAAAAGCUCCUCCAACCAUGUGCUCUGAAGAACCACCUCUUUUAUUAUCAUAUGACGCCGCCCCACAAAAUUUAACAAGGUGAUUUUUUUAUGGUUUAUGAUAGGUUGUUUUAUUACUGGUUGUUGAUUCAUAUCACUUUAUUUCAUGUAUCUAUAUUGUGAGUUAGUUGUACUGUUGAUUAAUUACUGCUUGGUUUCCAGCUCUCUGGCCACUCCAGCUGUAAAUACUGGCAUUCCGAAUUGCACAUCCAACCUAGCUUUACUGACCAAUUCAGAAAAUCCUGCGACUGACCAUGAACCCGUUUCCUCCAAAACUGACAUGGCAACUGAUCAAAGUCUGUUGGAGCCAAGGGCUCUGGUUCCGGUUCCAGUUCCAGCAACAAAUGUUGAGGCACUAACUGCUGUCGCAGUCAACCAGAAUUUCCAAAAAUCUGAGCUUGCACAGCAUCGAAUCUGGAGGCCAUUUUCCAUAUCAGAAGUCGAAGCAUUGGUACAGGCAGUUGAGGAGAUUGGUACUGGAAGGUAUAAUAUAUUAUGCUGCCACUGUUUCUGUUCACAUUUCUAGUGAGCACUACUAUUUCUUUUCAUGGGUUUGUGGAGGAGGGUAAAAGUAGUUGUAGGAUUGGCUCUUUGAAGAGGAUGCAGUUAUAAAUAUUCAAGAUUAAUAUCGUUUUCUCUCUUAUGUAGGUGGCGCGAUGUUAAAUUGCGAGCUUUUGAGAGUGCUGACCAUCGGACUUAUGUGAAUUUGAAGGUAACAUUACUCAUCUUUUUCUUCUCGUUCUUGUUCAAUGAAGAGAUAUGGGCAAUGAAUGGGACUUCCCAUGUACGAUAACCAUUAGAGCAGAUUUCUGAGGCCUGGGUGUACCAUUGAGAAAGAAACCGAUCAACUCCAGGACAAUUACUGAAUUUUUAUUUAUCCAUCGUGCUUAGAUGCCUAUGCAAAAGCUUGUAAAAUUUUGUUGUGAAUUAGCUGAAGCCACACUGGUCUCCCAAGACCGAUAAGCCUCGUUAACCAAUGCUUUCAUUAUUUAUUUUCAUUGCAAGCUCUAUUUUGGUAACUGAUCUUUGAGCUUAUAUAUGCAUUUGGGGUACGGAUUAAGCAACAUGUUUUGUACAACCAGGAGUAUCUUAUCGGUAAUACCUGUAUCAACUGUUUCUAAUUACGGAUCACUACCAUCUUCAGGAUAAAUGGAAAACACUGGUUCACACAGCGAAGAUUUCCCCACAACAACGGCGAGGAGAUCCAGUACCUCAGGAACUCCUGGACAGAGUUUUGGUUGCCCAUGCUUACUGGGCUCAGCAUCAAGCUAAAAAGCAGCAAAGUAAGCAUCACCAUCAUCGUCACGGAACUCCGAGCAUCACAGACACCACUGAAGCUGACAGAAAGGGUGUUGCACGUGUCCCAAUCGGUACAAUGUAAGGAAAACAAAAGGCACACAUACCCACACUGACAUGAAACAUUGUACAAAUUAUUCACAUUUUAUGUAAUGUUGCACUCUCACUUGAUUUAUAGGCCUGGUCUUUUCUUGGUGGGGGAGCCAUUGGCACUUUCUGCAAAUAAAAUGAUUAGAUGAAAUAAGAUGGGUCUACUAACCACAUUUUUCAGUACUUUUUGGUUAUUCAUUCUUUUGAUUUAAAUUUGUAAUUCAUAUCCAAUGAAGUUAGGGGAAUCAAAGACUAGAUAUUUAUGAUUAAUUAAUGUAAAGGAUUAGGUUAGUGUGUUAAUUAGGAAUUUUCUUUUUUGAUUUGCACUAGUGCUAAAUGAUGAGGAUGGCAAGAAGGCUAAUACACAGAUAUUAUUGAUUUAAUUUCAAAGUGGGGUAUAAAAUUAUAGAAUGUUAAUCUGUGUUUAGUGUGAUAUUUAAAAUAAAUAUAUUAUGUUUUAUAUUUUUUUAAAGAGUUAAUUCACUAUUUGGUCCUUAAACUACAUUUCUCUUUUCACUUUGAUUUUUUUUUUGGUUCCACUUUGGUUGAAUCCCAUUAUUUUAGUUCCACUUUUGCCACAAAAUAAAAAAAAAAAUUGCCAACAAAAAUGUGAUAUGUCACAUCGUUAUUGGAUGCCGGUAAAUUUUCGAAAUAAAAUGGAUAAAAAUAAUAGUUAUGGUAUUAAAAAUCAAAUCAUAAAAUGAAAAUCCGGUGAUAGUCAUAUAUAUAUAUUACUGUAAAAUAAUUAAAUAGAACAAGUUAUAAAACAUUCAAGAAAACAGAAAAAUAAGUCAUAAAUUUGAUUAACCAAAUUUUUAUUACAAUAAUACUUAUUUAAAAAUAAUACUUAUUAGCAGUAGAACAAUAGUCAAUUAAUAAAAAAUAAUAAAAAUAAGAAUAUACAGAUUUUACUUGAAAAAUUCUAUUUUAAGCAAAGUCGAUUAGAAGAAUAAUAGUUUUAUACGGAUUCAAUUUGUACUGGCCUCUCACUCUAUAGAUCCCCUUAUUUCUUUAGAGUAUUUAUUUCUUAAACAAGUGAAAAGAUUCGAAUCACGUAAUUUCUAACAAUGAACGACAUAAUAAAAUAAGAUAGUAAAGGCAUAAUGUGUCUCGUGGUCUAUGAUUUUCAUUUUUAAUAAUAAUAUUAUUAUAUAUUUUGUCCAUUUAAAAAAUAAUUAUUUGUAAUAUUAAUAUAAAUUUUUUUUUACAUCUAAACUUUAUAAUAUUGCUAAAAUGAAUAAUGCUUUUUUUUUUUGGAUUAACAGGAGAAUUUUAGAAAUAUCUAAAAUAAGCUUACAUGUCUGACAUAUUUUAGACCCAAAAAGAAUGUCAGAAAAAACUCUUUUCCUUUUUAGAGAUGACUUAAUUAAAAGAAAAAAAAAUACCAAUCUUAUGAAUCAAAUACUAUAUUUAGGAAUGAAUGGACGGCUAAGAUUCAACCAACAUCAUCACCCUAUUUAAAAAUUAAUUUUCUUAUUGUCCAGUGAGUCUGUUCUUUUUCUUUAUAACUCCAACAAAGGUUUACCUUUGUCUCCCCUUGUCUCUCUUUUUCUCUGUAAGAUUCUCAGCUCAGGUACUUUACUUCUAUUGAUCUUUUCUCUGUUCUUUUAAAAGUAAAAAUAGCUUGAUGGUUUUUUUUUUUAAGGUUGUCUUGUAAAAGAUUUUGAUGUGUUUUUAAGGUUGUCUGACUUUUAAACCCUUUAAGAAUCUUUUGUUUUUGGGUAUAUGUGUGUGUGUGUGCUCCCAGUUUGAUUCUUAUAUUUGUUCUUGAAAUGAUCAUUUUCUAUCUAGGUUUUGGUUUAUAUUCAUUGUUGUUUAAGUUCCCUUAUUCAUUACUGUUCAAAUAUCUCAUUCUUUUUUAUAAAAAAAUGUUUUAUAUUGUAAAAACAUGUUAUUUGCUGUUCUCGUUGAUAAUAUAAUGCCCAGAAUUUUCAUUUUUUAUUUAGAAUCCAGUUCUUUCUAUGUUUGAUGUUGUGUUAUUUUGAUUUUUAUAGGUAUUUUUGAGAAGGAACAUAGUAGUUUAUUGUUGGAAAUUGUGUUGGUUUUUUGGACAAGGAACAGUUCCUAGAGGGGAGGCGUUGGAUUUGAGGUUGGAAUUUACUAGGUUUUAUUUUGGGUUGUCAGUUUUUGAACUUGAAAGUGAAGAGCUUUGAUAGUUCUGAAAUUCGGGUUUCGGUUUUUUAUUGCUUUGUGAAGCGUAUCAUCAUGGAUCCGUCGUUGCAGGGGCUUUACAGUUCUGUUGAUAGAUUCAGAGUAAAUGAUGAUACUUUGUUAGCGAUAUCGAGCCCGAACUUUAAUAACAGGUUUAAGAAUGAAACUUUUGCUGGUAUUCCUCCUUUGCAACCUGCUACGAUUCCGAUAAAUUUGCUGCCUUCUGCAAGUGUGAACGAGCCCGAGGAUUAUGACUUUAGUGACUUAGUUCUUAAGUACAUAAGUGAGAUGUUAAUGGAAGAAGAUAUGGAAGAUAAGACCUGCAUGUUUAAAGAGUCUUCAGCAGCCCUUCAAGCUGCCGAGAAAUCAUUUUAUGAGGUUCUCGGAGAACAGUAUCCACCUUCUCUGGAACCCGAAUUGAAAUAUCAAAACCAUGAAAGCUCGAAUGAACUUCAUGGUCAUAGUUGUUGCAGUUGUAGUAGUGCUGACGGUAACUUACUCAAUCUUCCGUCCAACUAUGAUUUAGGCAUGCAAAUGUCUUUAAACUACAGUUCUCAGGCCAAUUCAUCCCAUAGUUCCGGGAACAGUGCUGGUAGUCUCGUAGAUGGCUUUACAGAUUCUCCGGUGAGUACUCCCCGGCUUCCUGAAAUAUUUGGUGAUAGUGAGUCAGUCGUUCAAUUCAGAAAAGGGUUUGAGGAAGCAAGUAGGUUCCUUCCGAAUCGUGGAAACUUGUUUGUUGAUGUAGAGAGUGACGGACUGUUUCUCAAAGAGGUGAAGGAAGAGGCUAAAAGUGUGGUAGAGAAGGUGGAAAAUGAGUUAUUGCAGGACGGAUCGAGGGGAAAGAAGAAGCCUUAUCCUGAGGAUGUGAAUUAAUACAACGGCAGGAGUAACAAGCAGUCGUUGGUUUAUACUGAAUCCACUGUAAGCCCGGAAAUGUUUGAUACAGUGUUACUGAAUUGUCAAAGCGUAGCCGACCUUCAAAAAGUUUUGCAACACGAAACAAACAAGAAUGUGCAACAGAACGGACAGUCAAAAGGACCUACAGGUGGGAAGGCACGUGCGAAGAAAGGUAAACGGAAUGUGGUGGAUUUGAGGACUCUGUUGACUCUUUGUGCACAAGCUGUUGCGACCGAUGAUCGGAGGAGUGCAAAUGAGCUGCUGAAGCAAAUCAGGCAGCAUUCUUCGCCUAUGGGUGAUGGGAUGCAACGGUUGGCCCACUAUUUUGUCGAUGGUCUAGAGGCACGCUUAGCUGGCUCCGGGACCCAGAGUUACAAUCCUGUUGUCACGAGACCGACAUCAGCUGCUAACAUUUUGAAAGCUUACCAUCUGUUUCUUGCUGCAUGCCCUUUUAGGAAGCUCUCGAAUUUCUUCUCAGAUACGACGAUAAUGAAUCUUGCGGAGAAUGCAGCUAGGCUUCAUAUUAUUGACUUCGGUAUUCUAUAUGGCUUCCAAUGGCCUUGUCUUAUACGGCGUCUCUCAUCUAGACCGGGGGGACCGCCUAAACUAAAGAUCACAGGGAUCGAUCUUCCGCAACCUGGUUUCCGGCCAGCAGAAAGGGUUGAGGAGACAGGGCGUCGUCUUGCGAACUAUGCUGAGGCUUUCAAAGUUCCGUUCGAGUUCAAUGCAAUUGCACAAAAAUGGGACUCCAUUCAGAUCGAGGACAUAAAGAUUGAAAGUGGUGAAGUGCUUAUUGUAAACUGCAUUUACAGGCUUCGGAAUCUGCUCGAUGAGACUGUGGUUGUGGAGAGUCCGAGGAAUAAAGUUCUGAACUUGAUGAGGAAAUUGCAUCCCGAUGUUUUCAUACUAGGGAUCGUGAACGGCGCCUACAGUGCUCCAUUCUUUAUUACGAGAUUCAGGGAGGCUCUCUUCCACUAUUCCACUUUAUUCGAUAUGCUCGAGACUAAUGUGCCCCGUGAAAUUCCGGAACGGAUGCUAAUCGAGAGAGAGAUAUUUGGGUGGGAGGCAAUGAAUGUCAUUGCAUGCGAAGGUGCUGAAAGAAUCGAGAGGCCUGAGACAUACAAGCAAUGGCAGGUCCGGAAUACAAGGGCCGGGUUCAGACAGUUGCCACUGGAUAAGGAGAUGAUGAAAACGGCAAAGGAGAGAGUCAAUACAAACUACCACAAGGACUUUGUAAUCGACGAGGAUAACCAUUGGUUGCUUCAAGGGUGGAAGGGACGGAUUGUUUAUGCACACUCGUGUUGGGUGCCUGCCUCAUAACCGAAUACUUUUGAACUACUCAAGAAAAGGCAAAGUCUUGCAAAAUCAGCUGCAGCCUUUUUGAUGGUUACGAUCCAGUGAUGGAUUUCACAUAGACGGAGAUAAGGUGAUCUAUCCGCUUCACUCCAUCCCUUACACACACGCAUACACAAAAACUCAAAUUCCUGAAAACGAAACUUGAUAUUGACGACCGUUUGUCGUAUUUUCCAACCAGGUUAGGUUACGUAAGAUCAUUGCUGGUGCUUAUUCUCAUGCUGUUAGAGGCUGAAAUGCAACAUGUACCAUAUCAUUUCGGCGGUUACCUUAUGGCUGGAGGUCAUUGCAUUGAUGCGCAUAACACGUAAAAUGUAUCCGGGAAUAACGGCAGCAACGGUAACGCAAAUUCUUAACGAAACAGAUACGUAAUUAUAUUAAAACCUAGCUGUUUAAGGGAAUGGUAAUGAUAUUUAAGUAUGUUGUAUGCACAAAAAUAGUGCUUAUUCUGUUUGCUUCAAAGUAGUAAAUUUUAUUGUCAAGUUACUCGGACUUUGAUGGUAAGUUUCUGGUAUAUGUCUUUGAUAUGAGUAAUUUUUUUAAAAAAGAAUUAUGUAUUUGGAAGAUUUUUAAAAAUUAUUAUAAUUUUGUAUCAUAUAUGUUGAAUAUAGGGAUGACAAAACCCGAACCGUCUAAUAGAUUUUGAAUUGGUCAACUUUGAAUGGAGUGGAUGAUUUUGUUUGAAAAGUAGAGGCGAGGAUGGGUGGGAUGAUUUUUUUUUUUUUGAUAGUGAGUACGAAAUUGUUUGUCCCGCUUCACUAUAUAAAAUUACCAUUAUAUCAUUAUAUAUAUAAAAACAGAAUUUUUAUUAUAAGUAUGAUAAAUCAUCUUAACAAGUAAACUUAUAUAACUAGAUAUUUCAAAAAAACUAAAACUUGUUAUUUUUAAAUAUCAUAAAUAUUAUAGAUAAGAAAAAAGAUAAAAACAAUAAUACAAUAAAUAACCAAAUUAUAUUAAUUAGGUCAAAAGUUUGUUUGAAUUGCAUUAGACUUACAGGUUGGAUCAAUAACCGGACAAAAUAUUAAUCCGAAAAGGAGUAUUAGAUUGGUUGAGUUGAAUCGAAUUUAAAAAAAAUUAUUUUUAUAAUUUUUAAUAAUUUAUUUAAAUAAGUAGGACGAAUUAAUAAAUUAAUAGUUUAACUGGUCUAUUACCGAUCCUAUUUUUAAAAACAUUAGAUGUAUAUAGUGGUAUAUGUUUUUUUCCAUUAUAUAGCUAGUGGUAUUGAUACUGUGAUAUUAUCUCAAUCAUUUGUCAGAUUUAGUCAUAGUCAAAUGCAACAAAGUAUUACUUCGUUAAUGAUUUUAUAUUAUAAAAUUUUCUAUCUUUUAGACUUAAGAUGCAUUCAAAUCUAAAUACCAACACCCAAGCUUUCAUUGAGAAAAUUAUGACAUUCUAGAAACCUUUAAAUAUUUGGAAAAGAAAUCUCUAAAAUUUUUGUCUCAGACAUAUGCAUGAAUCUAAUACUUCGGUUCAAAUCUGUGUGCAUUUGACUGGUUGAAGUUCACACACAUGGUUUUACGUAGAAUUUAGUAAUUAAGUCAAUUGGAGUGGUUGCUUUCUACUAAGCAAUUAUUUAAGUUGAAUCAAUUUAUGCACCUUAGUUAAAUGAUAAAAGUAUAACUGGGUUUAAAUCAUAUUACGUGGGUAUAUUUUUAUAUAAAAGAUAAAAAUAAUGACAAAAAUAUCUUUCAAAUAAUACAAUUUAUUUUUGUAAAAAUGGUGUAUUUUUAUCUUUUCUUGACCGAGUUGGUACUCUUAUCUUAUGCUUUUUCCAUAUAAAAGAUAUAAAAUUACUUUAUAAAAUGAAGGUAUUUUUAUUUUUUCCUAAUUGAAUUGGUAUUUAUUUAACUCGUGCCAAUUAUUUUAUGAAGUAAACAAAAACAUGAAAUUGGGUUUUAUGAUUAAAUGUAUUGUAAUUGAUGAAUGAGUAAAUGGUAAAAUGAUGUGACGUCAAAUGUAUGACGCAAAUGUCAUGUAUCAAAUUGUUUGAAACAGUCUUAAGGCUCUUUGGGUCACACUGUUCAGUGUGUUUCACACUUUUCUAUGCUCAACUGCACCUGAUUUGCUAUUUGGAUCGAGGUGGUAUUUUAGAUUAAUUUUUUAAGUUUGGAUUUGAUUUAAAAUAUAAAACUUUAAGAUUUAUAUUUAGUAUAAUAACAUAUUUAUUAGAUUUAUUUGUUAAAAUAAUAUUUAGUAUUUAUUAUGGUUAACUAUAAAAAUAAUUUAAUAUUAUUUAUCAUUUAAUAUAACAAAUAAUUUAAAGUGGUUACAAAACAAAAAAAUAUUUAUAAAAAUAUGGUGAUAGAUAUUAUUUUAUUAAAUAAAAUUAAAAUUUCACAUGUUUUCAAUAAUUUUAUAAAAGUAAAAAAAAAAACUUUCUAUUAUAUUUAUUUUUUUAAUGUAAUGUUAUUAAUAGUAAUUUUUUAUUUUCACCUUACCGUUAUAGUUGUAGUUGAAUCCAAACACAUGUCUUACUGUUGAUUUUGAUCUCACUAUUACAGUAUUCAAUCUCACUGCUAUAAUAAUUACUCACUGUCACUAUUGUUUUUCACCUCACCAGAAUCAAACUCACCGUCUAUCUAAAGGAUUAGAAAAAUUAAUAAUGGUUAGAAUUAUGGUAUAAUUAAUUCAAAUUUUUCAAAAAAACUCUAAAAAUUCAAGGCUUCAAGUUGGUUUAAGAAAAACAUGAAUUAUUUUCAAGUAACAUGUGAAAUAUAUUCGAAAGCUAACUGAAUUAUUAAAAAAAAGUAUUUAAGGGUGAGUUUGGAUGGGCGGUUUGUUUACCUGUGGUUAGUGUAAAAACAGCGGUAGUGGUGAGAUUAGAUACUGUAGCAAUACUGUAGCGUGAGAUAAAAAGUAGGCUAAACGCACCGCACCACACCUAAUCGCCCAUCCAAACCCACCCUAAGUCAUUGGCUUUUUUUUUUUUUAAAUCUGCCUAGUGAGCUCUAAUUGGCAAUUCGACUAUCAGUAUGGUAGAUUAGUACUCAUCGACAAGUAGAAGAUCAUUUCUUAGAUUUAGUUUGAUCUGGCAAUCAGUGCCGAAGAUCGAAGAAGAAAAUUGUGUGAAAUUUAGUUCGUAAAUCCGUAACGUUCAAAAUUGUUUCAUUAAAAAAACUGAACUGUAGAAGAAAAGGUGAAUGAGAGCUUUCGAUUGGUGCAGGCGAUACGAACAAAAAAUGCCAUAAAACAACGGUUUUAAUAGCCCAAUGACUUAAAUGAAAACUUUCGAAUAUUUCAAUUACCUUUUUGUAAUUUUCUAAAGUUGGAUGAUCAAAAUGUAAUUUUUUAUCUAUAAAUAGAGCUAAGCUCUCAACAAAAUUUUCAGACUUUUGGAAGUUCCAGGGGCCUUUAUUUUUUAGGAAAUCAUAAAUUAAUUAAUGGUAAAAUUAUACUUUGCCUCCUAAAUUUUAUUUAUUUAUUUUUGGCUUCCUAAAACAAUUUUCUAGCUUUACCUCUGAUGAGUUUCUUCUUAAGUAAUAUAAUUUAAAAUCAUUACUAAAAUCUUAAUUUAACUAUUAAAUGAGACAUCUCAUUGUAAUAGGCCCAAUUUUCCUGGCCCGCUAUUGAAAUAAAUAAUAAAAAAAACAAAUAAAAUAAUAGUCCAAAUAACAAAAAAAAUUCACCAAACCCAAUUUGCCUAGACCCUAGACCAAACCUAAACCUGAUUCUUAGCCCAGCAAACCAACUCAGCCCAAAUGGCCCAACACCAGAAUGCACAACAGCAAAUCCUAGCAGCAUUCAGCCUCCAACGCCGCAGCCACGCCUCCGAGUCACUCCACGCCAGCCUAUGCCUCAGUACGCAUUGAGCCACGUCACGCAUACCCGUCCCUGCAGCAAAUAACAAGACAACAUCAAAAGAAGAAGAAAAAAAAGCAAAAAAACGAUAACAACAAAAGAAAAAAAGGAAAAAAGAGGGUUUAUUUUUUAUUUUUCGGGCUAUAAGAGCCUUAUUUUCUCAUGUACUCAAGGGGGGAGACUGUAUUAAAAAAAAAAAAGAAAUCAAUACAAAAAAGGUUUUCUUUUUUCCUCUUUUCGGUUCUAUUCCUUUUCCGAUUGCUUUUUCUCUUUUUUUUUGUUUGUUAGUAAUAACAUAUUUAAGCAUAUAUAUAAAAUAAAAAGGGAGGAGAGUUCAAAAACUUAUAUAAAAUAAAAAGGGAGGAGAGUUCAAAAACUUUACCUGGAUCGGUGAGUCGCCGAAUCCCUCCUCCGUUCAAGCCAAGAUUGAAUAGGUGAGGGGGGGUUUCGACACUGAAGCGGCGCCAGGAGUUUAGUUUUCUUUUAGGUUUUUUUUUCUUAAAAAAUGACUGAGAGCUUUAGGUUUUAUGUUUAUUUUAGCUUAUAUAGUGUGAAAGAAACGAUGUCGUUUAGUGUCCUUGGACCCACGCGGUGACCCGACCCGGGGCAGGAUCUGCGCAUUCUGGUUCAUUGGACUAUUUGUGAAAUCAGUCCUCUUUUGUCUUGUAUUGUUCUAAUUCGAUUUUCUACAGUUUUUUCGAUUUAUACCGUAUGAUUUAAUCUGGUUUCAAUUCGGUUCAUAGUUAAACGGCGACGUUUCCAUUAUCUGAAUUUGAAUGUUUGAACCAUUGCGUUUAAUUGUGGUUUUAGUCCUCAUGUUUUCGAUUGAUUGCAAAUUUAGUCUUCCAAGUGCUGUAAUUUCGAUUCAAUUAUUGUUUUUUUUAAAUUUUAUCUUUAUUUCUCAUUAAUCAUAAUGUUUUGUUAAGUUUCAUAAAUAUUAUUGGCUCUUAUAGUGAAUAUAUUAAAGAAAAUUUCAUUCAAAUUUAGUUUUUUUUAUAUAUAUAUAUAUAACAUAAUGUAAAAUUAGCUUAGUAUUUUUAAUAUGUUUAUUUUUAAAAAGUUUUAAAUAUUAGGAUUAACAUUGUUUUCAAACAUUUUUAUCAUAAUUUUAAGGUACAACAUAUUGUUAUUUAAAAUUAUUAUUAACAUGUUUUGAGUUUAUUAACAUUGUUUUAAAAUUUAUCCUUUUUAUUUUAAAACUUUAUAUCAUUAUAUGUUUCAACAUCUAUAUAUAGCAAUUUGACAGACUUUGAACAUAUUUUAGUAAUUCAUUUUGUGUUAUAACUUAAUUUUCUUUUAAUAUAAUGUUUUUAAAUGCUACUAUAUGUGCUAUUAAAUUAUUUCAAAAUAUAUAUAUAUAUAUAUAUAUAUAUAUAUAUAUUAUUGUUUUGAUGUUUAAUAUCAUCAUGAUUAUAUGUAUAUAUGUAUUUUAAGUUGAUUUGAUUUAUAUAAUCUAUUUCUUUCAAAACCUAUUUGGGUAAUUACUUAUUUCUUUUAAGUCAUACAUGCAUUGAGACCCUUUCAUAGUUAAUUUAUGUGUAUUAUUUAAGGUGGAUUAAUAAAUAUAUUUUAAGUUCAUUUCGAAAUGCUAUUAUACGAAGUACUAUUUUUUAAUUCGUGAAUAAAUCCUUUUUAGAACUUGUGUGCUUAGAUUUUGUUAGGUGAAAUUCCUCUCUUAUUAUCUUGGAUAUACUUUAGAAUUUGAUGUUCGAUUGUCAAUGUUAGCAUUAGUAUGAUAUUAUUAAAACUAUUAUUGCUAUUCUUUAUUUGUAUUUAUUUAUCGCUUAUUUGCCACUUCUAGGUCUAAGUUUGAAUUAUCAUUUAUCUUUUGCAUCACAUAUUUCUUUUAAAAUUUCUCUUUUCAUUCUAUUUCAUAUUAAAAAGGCUUAGCGUUUAUAAUUCUCAAGAGAAUUGUGCCCUAACUUACUGGGUUCCAAUUUUUCUCGAGGAAUUUAAAUAGUCAUGUGAUUAUUUUAUCUAAACCAUAUCAUUUUAACUAAGCAUUUAGGAUUUCAAAAUGUCGGAUCCUAACUUACCGAAUGUGACAUUCUGUUAUCCUGAUUUUAAAAUAAAGGCAAUGUUUGACGUUUAAGAACUUCGAGAAAUCGAAACCUAACUUACUGGAUUCUGAUUUCUCGUUUGACUUAAAUGACCGAACAACCUUCUCAAAAUGCAUGAAUUUUAAAUUUAAAAACUAAAAAGACUUACUUAAUUUUGACGAUUGAAUUGUUGCACCCUAACUCACUGAGUGUGACAAUUUAUUUCUUCAAAAUAAGUACAUCUCAUUAUUCAACUUGGUUUAUUCAAAACUUCAAAGGAUCGUAUUUCAAAAUCUUUUUAAUUUUUCGACCUUAAGACAUUAAACAAUCAAUUUGGUACCAAUUUUGUGCGUUACGAGAGUGCUAACCCUUCCUCGUACGUAACCGGCUCCCGAACUUAUUUUCUCAAAUUUCGCAGACCAAAAAUCAUUUUUAAUGGUGAACCGGUCAAACAUCAAUAAAAGAUCGGUGACGACUCCCAUUUUAUUUUCAAAGUCGAUCCCCGUUUUUCAAAAUUAUUAAAAAUGGUUUCGACACUCAUCUUACGUGAAAUAAUUUAAAAUGAAAAAUUUAAAAAUAGAUGUUGUAAAAGUCUUGGUUUUAAAGUUUUCGAAGCUUAAAAAAAAACGGGUUUUUUACCCAAAUAUAUUAAAAAAUUAAAUACCUAAAUAGGUUCUCAGCUAGAUUAAUUACCGAAAUAGUACGUUUACUUUAAUAGUGCCUAUCUGACAGGUGCGAAUCAAUUUUUUAUAUUAAAAAUAUUUUUUUGUUUAAAUAAAAUAUUGAUUUUUUAUUUUUAUUAAAAAUAUUUAAAUAUAUAUACAGGUAAAAAUACGGUCAACGGGUCAAAAUACGGGUAAAAAACGAGUCGCGCCUGUCAGAUAGGCGCGACUAAUCGAGCCUGACAGGGAGGCGCGAAUGGUCUGCUGCAUGCCCCCCUCCCCCGCUGCUAGCAGCUGUUGCUGCACCAUGCUGUUGUUGUCCCUUCAAUGCUGCUGCUGUCCCUUCAAUGGGAAAAAGUUGCAAAUGGGGGACCUUAUAAGCAUGGUCCCCCAAACCCCAUCCACCGAAAGAGAGAAAGAAAAAAGAGAAAGGAGAAGAGAAGAAGAAGAAGAAGAAAAAGAAGAAAGAAAGAAAAAGGAUAAUGUAUUAUUUUAGUAAAUAAUUUUGUUUAUAAUUUAAAGAGUUUAAUUAAAAAAAUGAUUGUAGAAAUAUUGAAGAAUAUAAAUCAAUUGUUAACAUACCAAUACUUAACAACAACUUAAAAAAAUUAAAAAAUUGAUAAUAAUACAUUAAUAGUAUCAAUUAAAAGCGUUUCCUAAAACUCAUAAUUAAGAUUCUUAUUUUGAGCAAUGAGAGUAGAUUUUGGCUGUGUGAAAAAAAUAUGGGAUAUGGAUAUUUUUAUAUAAUGUAAUUUUAUUUGAUUUUAUUUAUUUAUUUAAAAUUUUUUAUUGAUUUAUUAAAAUAUUGAUUAAAUUUGUUGUUAUAUAAUUUUAUAGGUUGUUUGAAAUAAACUACUCGGGUAUGUAUCUAUUUCUAUUUUUAUUUUUUUAAUUCGUAUGUUUUUAUGUUUAGAUAGUUUAUAUUAAUUUUAAUUAUAUUAUUAUUGUAAUCUAACAUAAUUUUUUUUAUUGUAGGUAAAUUAUGGGAAAUUAUUAGACAUUUACCAUGUUUUGUUUCUGAAAUUUGAAAUAAUUUAUUGUAUUUUUUAAAACAAAUUAAAUGAAUUCAUUUUUUUAAUUGCAGAUUUGCAGCAAAUAGGUUCUUUGAUUAAUAAUAAUAAUCACAUAUCAAGUACUAUUAAUGAGAUGGUAAUAAAAUUUUUAUUUGAUACUUAUGUUAUUUGCUGAAUUAAAUUAUAUUGUAUUAAAUAUUUUGCUAAUUUAAUAAUGUCAGGGUUCGUACCGCGUAUUGAGGGGCCGUGUUAAUAGUGUAGAGUUUCUGCUAGAUGAACACCUAAUACCAUACUUAGAGUUAGCCGGGUUCAGAUCAGUGGCAUUGAUCCAGACUUUUGAUCUACGAUACGACUUGAUUUUCGCUUUAGUCGAGCGAUGGCGUCCGGAGACCCACACAUUUCAUUUGCUGUGCGAGGAGUGUACCGUCACUCUAGAGGAUGUUGCACUUUAGCUCGGGCUUUCCAUCGACGGGAAUGCGGUCACGGGCGUAAGCUCAAUCUCUAGGUCGGCUACCUUUUGCUAUGAAUUACUUGGAUGCUCGCCAAGUGAGGGGAAAUUUACCAGUUUGAGAUUUUCAUGGCUAAAGGCCAAUUUUGAGCAUUUGCCGAGUACUGCCAAUGAAUGGGAGGUGAUGCAGGCCGUUCGAGCUUACAUUAUGCACCUUAUAGGGGGUGUACUCAUGCUGGAUUCAAACGGCAAUACAACCCACUUGAUGUACUUACCCUUAUUAUCCAAUUUGCAUAACACCCGUUCAUACAGUUGGGGGUCCGCAAUUUUAGCCAUGCUGUAUCGCGAACUUUAUCGGACGACAGAUCCUUCUGCUAUAGACAUAGGCGGAUGCCUCAUACUGCUGCAGUCGUGGGCACUUUACCGGAUGCCAUUCUUGGCAUCCAUUAGUCACCAAUCAUAUAUAUUUUCACUUGUUAAUAGGUGAUGAAUUUUUACUCGUUAUAAGAACUAGUUGACUUUUUUUCAGAUUAUAUUGUUCUAACAAUUUGUUUUCGUAGAUGGAGUACUAAUCCGAGUACCGGGAGGUCAUACACGGUUCCAGUAUACCGUCUGAUGAUUGUGAAUCAUGCUGGAGAGGGGGUAAGUUUUUCCAAUAUAAACUUAAUUUUAUUAUUUUAUCUCACUCAACUCACGUUAAUAUAACAAUGUUAUUAACUGUGCAGUUCAUUUGGAUGCCGUAUUCUGUUCCAGAAAUUAUGGCGGUUAUUCCCUCAUCUGCCCACGUCCACUCAAACCUAUGGUGCAUUAAUGUACCCGUUAUCAAUUUUCAGGUAGAGGAGUGGUAUCAUGGCGAUCGAGUACUCCGACAGUUCGGUUGCAUACAGUAUAUCUCGACACUGCCAGUACGAUUGGGGGAGAUCCAUGGGAUGAGUAGGAGGGGGAGGUAUGGAAAUGAUUGGGGAGAAGUGCAUGAAGAAUAUAUUACUGUAUGGAACAAUCGAUUGGGGAGGGUACCUCAGAUGGAUCGUGCUUUGGAUCUGUAGCCCUCGUUAGAGUACAUACAAUGGUACUGUGAGAUAGAAGUGCUCAUGGGCCGGGUGGCCCGGCCCGGCCCGACGGCCCGCCCGAAAUAUGGGAGGGUUUGAGUAAAAAUAUAGGCCCGAAAUAUGGGCUUGGGCAAAAAAACGAGGGCCGAUUAAAAAACGGGUCGGGCCUCGGGCACCACUUUUUUGGCCCGGGCCAGGCCCGACCCGAAUAUAAUAAUUUUUUUUAUUUUUUUAAAUUUUAAAAUACUUUUAAAAUACUUUUUUAAAUUUUUUAAAUUUUAAAAUAUUUUUAAAAUAAUUUUUUUUAUUUUUGUUUUAAUUUUUAAAAUAAAUUUUUGGUAUUUAUUUAAAAAAUGGGCCGGGCCCGGGCUUAUGAAUUUUUUCUCGAGCUGGGCCUGGGCAAAAUUCUAGGCCCAUAUUUCGGGCCCGGCCCGGCCCAUGAGCACCUCUACUGUGAGAUAGGGAAACCAUUUUUGUUUGGUGGGCGGUCCAUGGUAGUCCUUCCGCAUACGACACGAAUUAGGCAACCCCUUCCAGAUCCGCAUCAUGCACUAGAGACAAAGCUGGAGCCGGAGGCAGAGACGGAACUACAUUCUAGGGAUAGUUUUUAUCAUCCAGAUUUGGGGAGCGAUGAUUAUUUCCCGGGCUCGUCAGGCCACGGAUAUCAUUCAGAGCUUGAUAUCUUCAGCCCACUACCACCUCAGUACUCCAGUCAUCCUAGCUCGUAUCCACCUCAGUACUCUGCUCCUUCCAGCUCGUAUCCACCUCAGUACUCCACUCCUUCCGGCCCGUAUCCACCGCCGUACUCCGUUCCUCCCGGCUUCAUCGAUGACAUUUGAGACAUAUGAUUUUUCAUCUAUGUUUUGCACACCCCUACAUACGGAUGAUGAGAACAUUAAUCACCGUAAUCGCCCGUAACGUGAACGUCGAGCUCCACAAAAAUAUACCCUUAGAACCACACCAUCAAACCAUCAAUUUUAGGGGAAAAUUGAUUGACUAUCGAUAUAAAUAACUUCAUAUUUAUGUAAUGAAUAUAGUUGAUUGAUUAUCAACAUACGAUAUCGGAUGGGGAAAAAAUUAAGCAGCAGUGGACCCCACCAUUCGCGCCUCUGAGUUAGGCACAACUACUCGUGCCUGUCAGAUAGGCUCAACUAGUCGCACUUCUAAGAUAGGCUCAACUAGUCAACUUGUAUUUCAUAUUUAUAUCCGGGUUAUAUAUUGAUCCGGGAAAAAAAUUAAUAAUAUUUUAUUUAAACAAAAAAGUAUUUUUUAAUAUAAAAAAUUAAUUCGCGCCUGUCAGAUAAGCUCGAUUAAAGUAAACGUACCAUUUUAGUAAUUAAUCUAGCUGACAACCUAUUUAGGUACUUAAUUUUUUAAAAAUAUAUUUGGGUAAAAAACCCAAAAAAAAACUAUUGCUCACUCUCUCUCUUUUUUAUUUUAUUUUAUUUUUAGUUUUUAAUUUUUAAAAUUAUGCUGCAACAUUCUACUCUUCUUUAAAAUUUUCAUUUUAAAUUAUGUUACAUAAGAUUUUACAUGCCAUUUAAUGAUUAAAUUAAUGGCUUCAAUAAUAAAGGACCUGAUUGAUAUUAAAUUAAAAGUUUAGAGAUAUAUUUAGAAUAUUUUAAAAUUUAAGGACCAAAUUAAAAUGAGGUCAUAGUUGCAAGAUGUGUGGAGCAAUUAACUCGAAUAAAUUCCCAAUCAAUCAAUUUGUCCCUACGUUCCCACUAACAAACAGAAUCACUCAUAUACCCACGCUUUACGAUCGCGCGUUAUUCCACGCAAAAUGCACCCAACAUUUCUAACAAUUUGCACGUAGUGCUUUGUUUUUUCAUUGGUUUUUAGUUCCGGCCUAUGUAUACUUUAUGAAUUAGGGCUCCUUUGGAUCACCAACAAGUUUCAGUGUGAUGAGAUUUAAAGAGUGAAAAAAAUUUGAACUGAAACGCGGCUCUAUUUGGGGUGUUUGGCAAGCACACCAGUAAGCAUUUUUCACAUCACUGUAACCCAAAAUAUUGGCUGGAGUUAAAAGCUUCAAUGGAUUGAUUUGGAAGUCCAAAAAUAAGAGUAAUUAUUAUUUUACCCCUCCAAUUCUUCCUUUAUUAUUUAUUUUAUUUAAAACAGAUAACAUAAGUUUAAUAUGUCAUUAUUUAAUAUGAUUUAAUUUACAAUAAAAUUAUAAUUUUUAUUUAUAAAUUUAGUAUAAAUACAAUUUAAUUUAUAUUUUAUUAUUUGAUUCAAAUAUAAUCUGUAAAAUAUUUUGAUAUUUUAUUAUGAAUAUAAUCUGUAAAAUAUUUUGAUAUUUUUGAAUUUUUCUCUAGUUUUAAUUUAUUUUUAAUUAUUUAUUAUUAAAAAUAAAUAUAAUUGUAAUAAUUUUUAAUUAUUUAUUAAUUUUGUAAUUGUUAAAUAAUUUUAAAAACUUCUAUUAUAUAUCAUUUUUAAUCUAAUGUCCUUAAAAAUCAUUUUCUAUUUUCACCUCAUCGCUACAGCUGCGUUUGAAUCCAAACACACACUCCACCGCUAUUUCUAAUCUCACCGCUACAGUAUCCAAUCUUACCGCUACAGUACCUAAUCUCACUGCCACCGCUGUUUUUAACCUCAUCGGAACUAAACACACCGCCCAUCCAAACCCACCCUUAAUUUUGUUUGGGCAUAUUUUAUAAAAUUUUAAGUUAUUAAUGGUAAAAUUAUGUUUUAACUCCUUUAAAAAUGAUAAAAAUUUGAUUUAAUUUUUUAAAAAUUAUAAAGAUAUACGCUAUUAAAAAUGAUAAAAUUGAACUUUUACUAUUGUAAAAAUAUACGAUUUAAUUUUGACUCCAAAAAAUUUUGUUGACUUCACCCAUGAGUGUAGUGUAUUUAUAACAGUGAAACUUGGAAAAAAUUAUAAUUCAACUUGAUUUGGCUAGAAUAACAAUAUAAUAAUUAAAAAAUUAUUUAAAUUUAAUUAUAAAAUAUAAAUAUUAUUAUAAAUUAAUAUUUUAUUUUAAAUUCACAAGUUAAGCUGAAAAAUAGUUCUAAAAGAAAUUUUGGAUUCAUGACUCGGCUUUUGUAACAUGUGUCUCGUGUUGAAUGUAUUUUAGCUUAUAUUAUAGGAAUAAUAUUUGGUGAAUUGUCAAUAGAAUUUUUAAACUAUACAAACAAGAUUAGGAGAUGGACAAACACCGUAUAAAAAUAUAAUAAAAUAUUAAAAAUGAAUAUUAGGAGAAACACAUUAAUUUUUUCAAAUUAGUUGACGUAAGAAAUACUAACCCUAUAUAAUAAAUGUUUUAAAAGAUUCUUAUACUUGUGUUUGAUGUUUUUUUUAAAUAUACACGUGUUAAUGUAAUUUUUGUAUAAUAAUUAUUUUUCUAAUUUUAAUGUUUGAUCAUAUCUAAUUUAGUAAUUUCAAAUUCAUCGUGUAUCCACGCGCUAGAACGCGAGUCCGAAUCUCAUUUCCCUUCUCAUUUUCGAAAUUCCAGCUUUAAUUUUUAUUUUCCUUUUAUCUAUUCAGCCGAAUCCUAAAGAAAACCCCUCUUUGACAGCUUUAUGGCCACCAGAAUCGACGGCGAUUCCUCCCGAAAAAUCAUCCCCGACCCGACCCGAAUAACCAAUCCCUCGAUAACUCUUCGGAUCCUCAAUCCUUGCUCCAUUCCAGGUGAGUUAAGGAACUCUUUUUAUAUUUUAUUUUAUGAUCUUUUUACCUAGGAUUUUAAGCCACUGUAGUUUUAAAAUUGAAAUUAGAGUGGAAGGGAAGUUAAUGAAUUUGGCUAUUUUGGGAGGUGUUUGCUUUUUCAAUUACAAUUCUUGAGAGAAAAGAACCAAAUUAUGUAACUAGUUGACAUUUCCCAUUCGGGGAAAUUGAUGUGAAAAAUGGUGGAAGAAAUUAGGGCUGUGAAUUCAGGGUUUUAUGUAUUUAUCCCUAAUAUUGAGAGAAAGUUGCGAGGAAAUUAGUGAAAUUGGUAUGUUUCUUUCUUCUGCCUUCUUUAAAUUUUUGUUGAUUUUGAUGUUAAAAUCAAGGUACCAUGGUGGCAUUAUGAUCCAUAUAAUUGACUCUGCACUGCGUGAAAAGGGCAAAUUUUCUUUCUUUUUGUUUAUAAAGAUGUAGGAAUGAUGAAAUUCUUGUCCGUUGAUUGGGCGUUUUAAUGGAUUUGAGUGGUGUUUACCUUGUAUUCUUAUUUGUAGGACAAUAACAUUUACUCAUAGUUGAAUUGUUUCUAAAGGUUCAUCAUCCGGUUCUCUGCUCACGGGAUUGUUUUUAUUGUCCAUGGAUCACUGAAAUGAUUGUUUAAUCCUUAUAGUUUCAAAAAGUUUGAUUUUGUUUUACUCUUGUUUCUCUUACGUGAUCAGGUUUUUAAAAGUCUAAGCGCAAUGGAUGAUGUAACUGAUUUGACUGGUGAUGGAGGUGUUAUUAAGAAGAUCGUAGCAAGAGCCAAAGUGGGUGCGCUCGCCCCUUCCGAGGAUCUUCCGAUGGUUGAUGGUAUGCACUUGUUGCUCGCAUGAAGUUUACAGUUGGUUUCUAUGAUGAGUGAUAUUUUAUUCAUCCAUUCAUAUAUAAACCUUUGCUGAAUUUCACCGGGAAUGAUAACGUGUUUGGUCAGCUUGAAAUUUCGUUUUCUUUUAUCUUUAUAUAUUUCUGCAGUCCAUACUCCAAAUAUAUAAAUUAGCAUUCCCACAAGAUUCCGGAUUUGUAAAAUUUGCUUCUUUGUUGUUUGAACAGUUCAUUAUGAAGGUACCCUAGCUGAAACUGGUGAAGUUUUUGAUACAACACAUGAAGAUAACUCUGUUUUCUCCUUUGAGCUUGGAAAGGGCACGGUUAUUCAGGCUUGGGACAUUGCUUUAAAAACUAUGAAGGUCAAAAUAUAAUGUCUCUAUGUCGUUUUUAAGUUAUUUAGGCUUAUCUGACAUAUCUUUUUUUCCCUUUUCGGCAGGUUGGUGAAGUUGCGAAAAUAACUUGCAAGCCAGAGUAUGCCUAUGGUGCUGCCGGAUCUACCCCCGAUAUCCCACCCAAGUACUUGAUUCUUAUUUUCAUCUUUUAUUGUUAUUAUAAUGCAAUUGGCUUGUCAAUGGCUAUGAUGGCCGAAACAUGAGAUAUUGAAUUAGCACUAUAUUUUGUUUACGGAUAUAGUUAGGACCUAUUUUGUUCAGAUUCAGACUCUUCUUUUCUUGAAGUACCGGUGUCUGAUAUCCGCAUCUAAUGCAUAUCCGGGCAUGGUAUGGGAUACCUGUUUCAGAACAUAUCUGCAUCCUAUUUCCACCUGAGUCCGAGUAUAAUAGUCAGGAUGAUUGUGAUUUGCUAGGGUAUUUAACCCAGUAAUCGGGCCAUUUGUAUUUCUCUAAUUUCCUAUGAAUGAAUGUGAUUUCAUAUUUUGUAUACAGUGCUACCCUUAUCUUCGAGGUGGAGUUACUGUCCUGCAGGCCACGCAAAGGUUCCAGUCUCGGUAGUGCUUCGGCAGAGAGAGCUAGGCUAGAGUAAGUCACAUUUCUUUUCCCCCUCCUUAUUCUGCUCGUAUUCUUGCGUAACUCUCAUUGUAUAGAUCUUGUCUAAUACAUGGAACAAUAAGAACUUUGUUUUAACAUUCGUUAAACUUAAAAUCAGGGAGCUGAAGAAGCAGAGGGAAAUUGCUGCUUCGGUGAAGGAGGAAGAGAAAAAGAAGAGAGAAGAAGCGAAAGCUGCCGCAGCUGCUCGUAUUCAAGCCAAGUUGGAGGCCAAGAAAGGUCAAGGAAAAGGUAAAGGCAAAGGCAAAUAGUUAAAGAAGGAUUUUAUAUUAGAUAUAGACUGAUAAAAAAACAAAUGUUAAACUGAUAAAGUUUCAUGUCAGCCAUUUUAAUGGUGAUAUUGCUUACUGUUAAUGUUAGAAAAUGGUCACUAUAACCCUCUUGUUUCUGGUGCUUAGCUACUAUGUUAAUUAGAGCUCUUCCAGAAAUUAGCUAGUCGAUUAGACUUAUACUUGGUAAUCUUAGACACGAUAUGAAAACAUGACCACGAGCAUGACUAGUUUGGCAAACACGUUAACACAUUUUUAAUACAUACAUUGUAUUUCUAUUUAGGGUUUUUACACAUUCUUGAUAAUGUUACACGAUGUGAAAACUCGAGCACUAGCAUGACAUCGACACAAACAUAAUAAAUGCAUUUAAUAAAAGCUCUAAUUUCAGAAUUUUUAACAAGUUUUCAUAAAAUCAAAAUAUGGAUUAUAAAUAUUUUAAUAUAAUUAAUAUUACAAUGAAAAAUUAAGUACCAAUAUGGUCGUACGAUCAAAGGUCCAUCUUUAUUUAUAAAGAUGGGCCCUGAUUGGACUAUGUUGGCUUCAUUCUGAACUUCAAAAAAUGUCUCUUCCAUUUUAAUCCUUUGGUGGGUUCCUUUUUUUUAAAGGUCCAUCUCUAGUUGUUGACCGGCAAUAUCACACCUGAUCUCUGCAAAUCCAACCCUUGAUUUCACCAAAUCAAAUUCCAUCCACACAUUUUGUUGAUGAUGAUGGCCAAUCACGAACGCUUCAAUACCUAAUAGAUCAGAGUUCCCAAAUGUGAAGCAAUAUACUGAAUCACUCCCCUUAUUCAUCUCGGGUACUUGAUAUAAUAGCCUCUCGCCCGAUAUGCUCAUCUCGGCUCCUUGAAACAUCAAACUAACUCGUGGUAAAUCCGAAAAAAUCGUACCGGGUGACUCGUCAACUUGGUAACAUAAGUCCAUUGGUUCUUGGAAAACAAAGUUCGGAUCCUCAAAAACUCGUAAAACCUCUCUUGUUUGUUGCAAAAACUCGUUUCUUAACGCGGUAUAAACCGGACCCAUUAAGAAAGUAAAUUGGGUGCCCGAAUCAACCAUUGUUUGACCUGCACCCGUGUGAUCCGGUAAAAAAGCGGAUCUUGGUAGGUCCAACAUUUUGUUCCCAACUUUAAUACCUUCUAAUUGCACCGUAUAUGCAACCCGAUCAAAAUAUGGAAAUGGAUCGGAUAUUUGAAUCAAAGGAGUAUAAUUUAACGUUUUAAGCCACGAGAAUCUCGUAUCGCCGAGAAGUAAAACACCAGACGAGUCAAAACCCGAUAUACAGUACGAGAAUUUGGGAAAACCCAUUUGACUCACGAAUGAUAAGGACCCACGGUUCAUGCCCAUUAACCCGGUUGCUUUCGAAUCUUCAUCUGAAUUCGAGCUAAAACCUGAGUCCAUACACCCGAAUAAAAACCCGGGUCGGACGGAGGACCCGAUUACAAAAUUCUCAUACGCGAGAGUUCCCUCAAUUGAGGAAGCGUCGGCAUAAGAGACAGCCACGUGGCACAGCUUAUUAUUCGGUUCGCAGGAAGCGGGUACGAGUAAGUCUCGGGUACGGGUUUUACAAAUGGGUGAAGCGCAAGGGAUGUGAAUGUAAGACUUGGAAAGUUCAGGGGUAAAAACGGAAUUUAAGUUGGGAAAUUUUUUGCAGUGAAGCCAUGAGAGUUCACUCCCAGUGUCGAGGACCAUAGUGACAUUUUGUGGCGGCGAGCCGACGGAUAAAGAAACUGUUAAAGUAACGUUAUGGUGGAAGCCAAGCUUGUUGGUGGCGGCGGCGGAGGAAAGUUUAGAGUUACAGGCAAAGGUAAGUGGGGGUUGACCAAGGGUUGUUUUGAGAGGUAAAAAGAGUGUUGUUUGUUUGGAAGGAAAAUAAAAUUUUUGAUGGAAAACAAGGAGGAAAAUUGUCAAAUGAAGCAGAAAAUGAAAAGAAGACAUUGAUUUAGGCUUCGUUUGGAUGGGCGAUUGACUGCGGUAAGGUGCGUUUAGCUUACUUUUUGUCUCACGCUACAGUAUCGCUACAGUAUCUAAUCUCACCGCCACCGCUGUUUUUAUACUAACCGCAGCUAAACGCACCGCCCAUCCAAACUCACCCUUAGUUUUGGGAAAAGAGUGCUUUGAUCUUCGGUUUUGUUUUGUACGUAAAAUGUAACUGUUGUUUGAAAGUUUUUUGAGUUUCGUUUAGCUUUGGUUCCUUAAAUAGUGGUAGCAAAAAUCAUUAUUCUUUUUUUAAAAAUUAAAUAAAAUAGAAAAAUUGAAGGAAAAAAAUUGUUCUAUUUAUUUAUAUUUUUUUAAAAGAAAAUUCUUAAAUUGGUCAUACGAUUUUCUUUUUUUGAAACUCCAGCUAUUUACACCUGUUUUUCCAUUGCAUUUUAAAAAUGUUUUCAGAGCAAAAAAACACUUUUUGCAUCAUAAGCAAUAAAAAGUAAUGCACUUUUAUGUAUAGAAAAAAGUAAUUUUAAAGUAAAAUGAUACUUUUAUCUUUUAUUUUUUUAUAAUAUUUACAUUGAAUAUACGGUUAUUUUUUAUUAAAGUAUUUUUUAAUAUUUAAAAUAUAAUUUAUAUAGUUAAAUUAAAAUUUAUUAACAAUUCACAUUAAUUGCUUUAAAAUAUUUAAAUUUAUAUUUCUUAUAUCAAAAUAUUAAUAAUAUUGUUUUCUUAUAUUUUUACUGAAAUAUUGUAAUAUUAAUGAAAUUUAAUAUUAUUUAAAUAUAUAUUUUUACUUUAUAACGUCUAAAAUAGAUAUUCUUUUUCUUCUUAAAAACACAUUUUAACAACAAUACAAUCCACUUAAAUUUUAAAUUAAAAUUUUCAAAAAUACUUUCUCACCGUGCUUCUCAAAAUAUAAUGAAAAACUAACCCUUAAUAUAUAUUCACGUAUAGGUAAGAUAAGGUGGUAAUAUUUAUUCAUGUUUGUAUUUUUUUCCAUGUAAAGUAUUUUUGAUAAUUUUAAAUAACAAUUAAAAUUUUUAGAAUACUUUUUUAUGUACUUUUUCAUCAUAUUAAUUUAAUUUAUUCAAGUUUUUUUUUUUGGUAAAAUCUUGCAAUUUGGUUUUUAACCGGUUGGCACUUGGGUCGUUGGUUCACCUCUUUUUACCUUUGUGGGGCAACACUAGAGGGUUAGUAGAGGUCUUGACCUCUCUAAAAUAGAAAUUUUUGAUUUUUAAAAAUUUAUGAAAUUUUAAAUUAGUACAUAUUAAAAUUACACUUUGACUCUCUAAAAAUGAUAAAAUUUUGAUUUAUUCCUUUAAAAAUAUAAACUAUUAAAUGAUAAAAUUAUAUUUUAGCUCUUAUAAAAUAUACUAUUUAAUAUUACCUAAAAAAAAAAUCCUAGCUUCGCUUGGCGCUCUCAAUCUAUCUUGUCAUUUUGUCAUUAGUCCCUCUGUCUUGUCGAUUUAGCUAUGGAUGACCUUUGGGAAAGGGCUUCAUGCCUUCUUCCGAUAGUGGUGCGUAGGUGGUUGUCACCCCUCGGGUUUCCCGUCAUCCACUUUCCUUGCCUUUCAUUUUCGUUUUUUUUUUCUUGGCAUGAUAAUGCCACAAGUACUUGUACUCUUUGAAAUUUUAGACUUGAGUCCAUGUACUUCUAUUUUCAAGAAUACAAUCUUUAAAUUUUUUAAAUUUCAAAAUUCAGUUUCAACUGUUAUUAUCAUUAUUAUUAUUUGUUAAAUUCAAAUUCAUUAUAAUGUCAUUUUUUAAUUACAUGUUUGUCAAGUAAGUAUUUUUUAUUUCAAAAUAUCAAAUCAACAAAUUAUUUCUCAAAAAAAUUAAUAGCAUUAACAAUUGAAUCUGAAUUGAAAUCUGAAAAGUAAAAGAACCGAAAUUUUAAAAAUUAAAAUAUAUGAAUUAAAUUUUUAAAUUUAAAAAAAUACAACAACUUAUAGCAUACUUUAAUUAUUAUUAUUUUUUGAAUCAAUGCAUACUUUAAUCUUUGUUUUUUUGAACAAACAUACUUCAAUCUUUUAUUUGUGAAGGUUGGGGUCCUUUAUCAUGUUGAAUAUGAGGGAAAUGGAUUUAGGUUUUUUCUUGUGUUUUUUUUUGAGGGUUAGAUUGUUUAAGUGUAUUGUAUAUUUUUAAUUAACUUUUUUGGUAAUAUAUAAUUAAAAUAUUAAUUAUUCAUCGAAAGUUUGAAUUCAAGUGAAUUUUAUGGGUGAACAUCUCUUAAUUUUUAAUGUAUAACAAAAUAAUAUAUAAUGCUCUUCCUUCAUAAAAUAACAAUUGUUAAAAGAUAAUCACGUAACCCAUUUUUAAUUAUGUUAAUAUUAAACUUUAAAUAUUUUUUUUAUCUUGAAAGGUACAUUUAAUUUUUUACUAGAUUAUACCAUUGAAAAAGAUUGAUGUAAAAAAUAAAUGAGGCUUUGGUUGAAAUGUUAUCUUAGAUUUAAAUUUUAUAAAAUGUAUUUUUUUAGAUUUUACAUAAAAUAUAAAAGAAAAAAAAUUUGCCCCCAUGAUAAUGUUUGUUAUUUUAUAGAAGGAAUGGAUUUUCGAUAAAUUUUCAACUGAGUUGGGACUCAAUUGAUAGGUGACAUAAACUCAGCCAACCUUUCAAAUAAUACUAGAUUUUAUCACACCCACGAUGUGGGUGAACAAAAUAUUUUAUAUCAAAAAUAUAUUUUUUAAAAUUAUUUUAAUAAAUAAUUAUAGGUGGAGCGGCAAGAGAUUUUUAUUUGCAUUGUUGGUCUUGUAUUUGAUUCCUAAAUAAUGUUUUCCAAUUGUUUUAAUUAAAAUAUUAUAUAAAAGUAUGAAAUAACAUGAAUACCUUUAAAAUAAUAUUAAUUAACCUUUAUAUUGGAUACCUACAAUCUUUGACUUUUCAAAGAUGAAUAGUGGCAGAAAGUUGGCACCGAAAGUAGAAAGUAAGAUUGGUUGGCAAGUUGGGUUAAAAGUUGGCAUGGGAUAAUUGCAAUUUUGGUCCCUAAUUGUAUAGGGACAUUGCAAGUUGAUCCUUAAACCUCAACUAUAAAUAGGCCUAACCAUCUCUUACUUUCUUCAUCCCACACUUGCCAUUCUCUACUUAAGGCAAUUGUUCUCUCUCCCUAUUUGUAAACUUUCACUUGUAUUUUUGGAGUGAAAUAUAUUUGGUAGUGCCCGAGGACGUAGGCAAAAUUUGCUGAACCUCGUUAAAAUUCUAAUGUUCUUUAUUUUUGUUCUGCAUAUUUUGCAAGUGUCAUUGUAGUGAUUUAUUGUGCUAUUAAAUUACGAUAGAGGGAUAUUCUGGCUAGGAAAGAUCUGGUAUGUAAGCGAUCCUCGUGAUCCACCUCUCUUUCCUGGGAAUUGAACUUAGUGUGAUUUUUCAGUACAAUAAUUUUACUCUUUCACACGCUUCCGCGCAACAAUUGGUACCAGAGCCAGGUUCGUACUUGGGGAAUACGACCGUUUACGGUACUAUUCACGUAUACGGCACUAUUUACGUAUAUGGUACUAUUCAUAUAUAUGGCACUAUUCACGUAUACGGUACUGUUCACGUAUACAGUAGUUGGGAUUGAGGAGAAAAAUGGCAGCAGCAUCGUCAUCAGCAAGGACUACUGUGACAAAUGCAAAAUUUGAAGUAGAGAAAUUUGACGGUACCAAUAAUUUUGGUAUGUGGCAGUGUGAGAUCCUGGAUGUCUUAUGUCAGCAAGAGCUGGAUAUAGCCCUUGAAGAAAAACCUGACAAGAUGGAUGACAAGGAGUGGGCCAAGAUCAAUAGACAGGCGUGUGGAACAAUCCGCCUAUGUUUGGCCAAAGAGCAAAAGUACUCCGUCAUGAGGGAGACAUCAGCGAAGAAGCUGUGGGAUACAUUGGAAGAAAAGUUUCUAACGAAAAGUCUUGAAAAUAGGCUUUAUAUGAAAAAGAAACUUUAUCGAUUCACGUAUGCACCCGGUAUGUCGAUGAAUGACCAUGUGAACUCAUUCAAUAAAAUUUUAGCAGACUUGCUAAAUUUGGAUGAGAAAUUUGAAGAUGAAGACAAGGCAUUAUUGUUGUUGAAUUCCCUUCCUGAUGAAUAUGAUCAUCUUACCACCACAUUGCUUCAUGGGAAGGACACGAUCACAUUUGAUGCAGUCUGUAGUGCGUUGUAUAGAUCUGAGACUCGAAAGAAAGAUAAAAGAGAUCACAGAGAUACAACUGCAGAAGUCUUAACAGUAAGAGGUCGUUCACACAACAGCAAACCUGGUAGAAGGGGUAAGUCCAAAGGGAGACCCGCCAAAGAUGAAUGUGCCUUUUGUCGUGAGAAAGGGCAUUGAAAAAAGAAUUGUCCUAAGCUACAAAAGGGCAAGGCUAUUUCUAAUGCAUGUGUAGCGGAGCAUGAUGAGGAGUCAGACUUUAGCUUGGUUGGCAUGGCAAUGGCAUGUCAAACGGAUGAGUGGAUUUUGGAUUCAGGAUGUACUUACCAUAUGUGUCCUAAUAAGGACUGGUUUUCUAGUCUUAAAGAGCUAGAAGGUGGAAUUGUUCUUAUGGGCAAUGAUAGUGCUUGUAAGACAAUGGGAGUGGGUACAGUCCAAUUGAAGAAUCACGACGGCUCAAUCCAAGUCUUGACAGAUGUUCGCUACGUACCUAGCUUGAAGAAAAAUCUCAUCUCAUUAGGGGUCCUAGAAUCUAAAGGGCUCACAAUCACUUUGAGAGAUGGAUUACUAAAGGUAGUAGCUGGGGUAUUGACGGUGAUGAAAGGCACUAGAAGAAAUAACUUGUACAAUUUAAAUGGA
This 87528-nucleotide long non-coding RNA is filed under the name Gossypium barbadense (sea-island cotton). RNAcentral describes it as "long non-coding RNA (GBAR_LNC017392)". The stretch from base 44930 to 45093 matches the Rfam family "small nucleolar RNA snoR143". The record is from RNAcentral. Lineage: Eukaryota; Viridiplantae; Streptophyta; Magnoliopsida; Malvales; Malvaceae.